RNAcentral lists this long non-coding RNA (50257 nucleotides) under Citrus maxima (pomelo). RNAcentral describes it as "long non-coding RNA (CMAX_LNC003848)". The record is from RNAcentral. Lineage: Eukaryota; Viridiplantae; Streptophyta; Magnoliopsida; Sapindales; Rutaceae.
CCAUCUACAGGCUCAAAUGGAAAAUCAAUGCUCAUGUACUUGUUCUCCACCAAUUUAUGUUGUGGUUGCCGAAAUGGCUCAUAAUCAACGGAGUGAAAUGACUUGAAAACUGCAUCUACGGACUCGUUGAUUUCGGGCCAGUAGUAGGUCCAUGCCGCUAUUACUCCAUUAGGUUUUUUGAGUACCCAUUUUACUUGUUUGUAAAAUUGAGGCAAGUCAAACCAAUGUAGUGCUGUAGCAAUUGUCACUAGAUCUACACUUGAUUGUGUUGCCACAUUUUGUUCAAGCUCAGUUAUGGACAUGGUUGGAGGAGUAAGUUGAUACCGAAUGUUGGGGAGCUUUAUUGCGAAUUCUAGCUGCUUUGGGCUUGUGUCUGUAGCAAUGACAUUCUUGUAGAUUGGUGCAAGCUGAAGACAUAAUUGAGAAAAAAUAUAAAAUAUAGGAGGCUAUAACAAAAGUACACAAAAUUGAGAAGGCCAUAUAUAAAAAUUACAUAGACAUGGUGAAAUUUCAACCCAUACUCAGUUUUUGUGUUUUUUUUUUUUUCAUCCUCAAGGUUGCCGGGAUACUCUAGUUCCCCCCUCGGUAGUUAGAUAAGAUUUUUCUGUACUAGUCUCACGACUAAAUUUCCAGAUAAUGUGGAUAUUGAUUUGUAGAUAAUACAUACAUAAUUAAUCAAUGAAAAUAAUAGGGAUUUAACUAGGGAUUGGCAAUGGGAGGAGAUCGACAUUCCUGUAUCUAUUUCUGAUACUCUACUUGUAUCCUUCUACUCUCCCCGUCCUUUUUAAAAUUGCUUGAGGAUAGGGAUGGGGAUCCCCAAAAACACCCGAUCCCGAACAACUGAUUUUUGAACUUGAUUUAAUCAUAUUAAAGUAAAAAAAUAAAUCAUUUAACAACACAAACACAUCAAAACAAACUAAAAUCAUUAAAAUCAUUUUCAUCAAACUAAUUAAGUUAGUGUCAUCAAAAUUACAAGAUAAUCGAUGAAAUUAAGUAAAAAUAGAACUUCAGGGUUGAACACAUACAUAAAAGUUACAUGGUAUAAACCAUUAAGAAAAUUAUCUUCGUCAAUCUUCAAGUGUUCAUAUCUAUUAUGAUAUUUUUUUUAUUUAUAUCCAUACCAUCACAAUUUAAAUUUUAAAUAUAAUUACUAAAAAUUUUCACAGAAAUAAAAUAAAAUAAAAAAUGGGGAAACGAGAGAGAUGAGGAAUUCACUGAAUCCUCAUCUUCUCCCUGUAUAAGAUAUUGAGUGUUAAGUUAUCUCUGUUCGUUCCCCGAAUUUUAAUUAAGAUACAAAAUUGUUCCCACACCCUACACAAAUGGGAAAAAUCCUUCAAGAUUCGUCCCAUGAGAAUUUCUGCUAUCCCUGAAUUUAACAGUUAUAUAAUUCAACUUUCUUAUAGCUUGGGAUCAGAAUUCUGAAAUAUUAAUAUCGAACUUUUGUAUUAUUCAAAAAUUAAAUCUAAAGAUGUGAAAAGUAAACUUACGGAUGCAGCGGCCUGGCCGCUUCCGGUGCCGACGUCCCAUACAAGCUCGUGUUUGGGUGUUUUAGAGGCAAUGAAUUUGAACAAUUCUUCUGGAUAAUUUGGUCGUGCUUCCGCGUAUUGCUUUGCCUGCUUAACGAACAUAUCUGCCAUCUUUUCUGUUUUUUUCUAAAUAAGUGUUGACAAUAGAAUUGAGAUAAAUCUACUGAUCACUUGUUUCGUUUCUUCUUUAUAUAGGUUUUAGAAUUUGAUGUAGUAGACGAACAGACAAAUUUUAGUUAGAAAUUAAUUUGGUAUGGUUUAUCUGGGGAAGCCCAGAACGAGGACAAGCUCAUAAAGCGUUAAAUUUUGACCGAACUUUUCAUUCUUCCUUUAAUUUUCAAAGAUUCCCUUUUCUUCGCAAAGAUGAUGGUAUGGACUUCAUCAAUGAGCCCACAUCAACUCCACUUAGAGAAUUUUUUUGGGAUAAUUUUGUCAUUAAUUUAAGCUGUUAAAGGUAUCUAAAGAAGUAUUGAACUACUACUUUGCUCUCUUAUGGGGUUAAGAUGGCGGAGUUUAAAGGCAGAUUCACCUCAUGACCAUUAGGAGUUCAAGCUUCCAAUGGAGAAAAUAAUUUAAAAAAAAGUAAUGAGAUGAUUGUUUGAAUUAUUAAUUAGAACCAUUAAAUUUAUUAAAAUAAUCGUGUUAAAUUUAUAAAAAUAGGUCCACAAAUUCAUAAACCUAUAAAAUUUAAAUUUUGACUUUGAAACAUAUAAAAGCUCAUGCUUUAAUUAAAAAAAUAAAUGUUUACAGUAGUCAAAUUUAUUAUUAUUUAAUUUAGCCCUAUUAAAUUUACUAAAGUAACCUCUACAAACUCAUUAAUCUAUAAAAUUUUAGUAUUGAUUACAUUUUGUUAUUAUAUAAUUUAAUCCUCUGAAUUCGCUACCAUUUGGAAUUGGCUCUCUAUUAUUACUCGAUCUAGUCCAAGUUCAAUCAAAGUUGGCUCUCUAUUAUUACUUGUUCUAGUCCAAGUUCAAUCAAAGUUGGCUGUCUAUCAUUGACACUUCUCGUUCAGGUUCAAUGAAAGAGAUCAAAGCAGAGUUUGUUUGCGAUUCAGUUUGUGUAAAUGCAUGUAGGUCCAGGUUGUCUUAUUUUGUGGUCCACUGGUGUAAAGAAUUUAAAAAGUAAUUGGAUAAGAGGAUGCGUCUUGGAUGAUGAAAUGAAGCAAUAACACAUCUUCAUGUGCAGUUUUUACGACGUGCACUCGGUAUGAUUAUGAAUAAAAAAAUUAUUAUCCUGUGGUGUAUUUUUUAUCCUGUAAUUAAUUUUGUUUGUCUUUUAAUAUUGUGUGCUUUUAUAUUAUUUUUUGUACACGUGUCAUUCAUUGUUUCACUACUAUUACCAUGCUCCUAAAAACCUUACUUUUUUUUUUUUUCGGAAGAUGCCGCAUUUGCUUGAUUUCAACAUUGGCAUGCUCGUCCUUCUUACGCUUUUGUCUUUCUAUAAUCAUCAUAUUCAAUGGCAAAAUUUCAACAAGAUAGAGCAAACAUUCAACAAAGAUAAGUCUUCUUAUUGGAUUAGGCAUAGAUUUUUAAUUAAUUUGUUAUGGAAGUUGGUGGCUAUCCACUAUCAGCUUAGAUCAAUUUAACUAGCUAUACUUAAUUAGCUAAGUUAUUUGGGUGAGCAAAGUCUGUUAGUAGUAAAGCUCGGAAAAUCACCUAAGAAAAAUUGAAAAAGGACCAUCAAAUAUACACAGUUUGCUUUGAUUGGCCAUUCAACAAAGCAUCUGAAGAGAUUGGAUGGCUAAAGAGCUAAGGCUUGGCUUUGUUUUGAUUGGCUAAUGGAUCCUAUAAAUAGAGAGCACUGCUCUUCGUGAUUUGUAUCCUAAAUUGAAACCUCAUCAAUUACAAAAAUAUCACCUUCCUUUGUAUCAUCUAUAUAUUAAUUUAUACUUUCUACAUAUAUGUUGUCAAUGAUUAUAACACGUUAUUAGUUAGCACGACAAUCAUUUUGGUACAGGAAGUAUCUUAUCCCCUGCUCUUUUAUUUUAUCUAUUUAAUUAAUAAAGCUAUCUUUAUAAAUAUACUCUGAAGUUGUCAUUAAUUUGGAUCUUCCACAUAAAAAAAAUAUGACUAGCUAUUGUAUUUCUUCUUGUUUAUUUUAUUUUAUUUUUAUAAUAGAGGGGCUCUAGAACGAGCUAAGGUAAAACAUAUAGGGAGUAAAUAAUCCCAUACAAAUCAUUUGCAAUAAAACUAACAACCCCUGGAGGAGGAAUAGAAAAAAGAUGCAAUCCCAAGGGCAGCUCCAAGGCAUAAUUUGUUAGGAAGUCCGCUGCGAAAUUUGCUUCACGAUAUAUGUGGUUGAUGGUUAUAACCCAAUUUCGCUUGAUGAGAUCUCUAAUGGAGCGGAUGAGGUGGGUAUACUCGUUGAUGCUCUCCAUCUCUAAUGGAGCGGAUGAGGUGGGUAUACUCGUUGAUGCUCUCCCUGUGGCUGUUAACCAUCUGAACAACACAGUGGCUAUCCACUUCCACGUGUAAAAACCAAGCACCAUGUUGCCAUGUUAAAAUUAAUCCUUGGUAAAGGCCCCAAAGUUCUGCUGCAAUAACUGAACAGACGCCUAUGUUGAAGCCAAAGCCAGUGAGCCACAUGCCUUGGUGGUUGUGUAUGAGACCUCCAGCACUUGAUGCCCCCAACUCUUUUCUUGCUCUGUCUGUGUUUAGCUUGCACCAGGGCCAGUUAGGUAACUUCCAGGUGAUCAAUCUCUCAAUUUCUCUUGAUCUCAACAACCAAAGAUGAGUUGUUGAUGUUCUAAAUCUCCUCAACUCUAGCUUUAAUAUCUUGUAUUAUACUAAUACUGUCCAUUAUAAAUAAAGAUAAAACAAAACCUUUUUCAAGUCACGGUGUUGUGCAAAUUUUAUUGAACUCGCAAGUGCACGAAUCUAUUGUAGAAUAGACUAAUGGUGACGAGUGUCGAUCCCACGAGAAGGUGGAUUUUAAUUGUGUGUAGAAUUAAUUUUGUAAAUGGGUGGUUGGAUUUGUGGUGAAAAUGAUUUGGAUUAUCCUAAAAUUCGAAUUAAGAUGGCAAGAGUAAAUUGAAGUGAAAAUAUAUUAAAUUGACGUACUUGGGUAUCUGGAUCCGUAUCAACAUGCAUCAUGGGCUAAAUAUUCUUUAUUAAUACCAAUUAAAUCAUGAGGGGGGAAUCCACAUCUCAUGAACCACACUCUAAUCAAUAUGGUGCUAAGGGCUUAUCGUGCCAAAUAAUACUAACCUUGUAUUAGGAAGCCAGUGAAACCAAGGCGGUACUAAACAAGAUUAUUAUUAUUUGUCGACGAGAAGUCAAAACAUCCACAAACACUAGAGGGGAAUAGAAAAUAAAUUUACCAAAUAAAGCCCAUGACACAUGUUGAGACUUCACCUUCAACCCAAGCUUGAAAGAAAAUUAGUCACUCAUAAUUGAACUAGGGGAAAAAUGGGAAUUUAUUAAAAUACGUAGAAAAUACAAGAUAGAGAAGGAAUUAUAGAUCCCAAAAAUGGAUUCAGAGAUAUCAAAUUAGGGGGGGAGGCCCCCUUUUUAUAGAUACAUUGAGUAAAUCAUGGCCAUCGGAUUAAAAACAGUUUGGACGCUCAGGAUUGCGCCACGUCAUCAGUCAAUAGUACGCGGUUUGACCACGCGGGUGAACAGUAACACGGUUUGACCGACUUUGAACAGUAACGCGGUUUGGUUGAAAAUAAUCCUGUGUAAUGCAUGUACCGUACGCGCAAGUUUUGGUCCACUAAUAUGCUGCCACGUCACCAUCAACAGUUCAUAAGAAUUUUAGACCAACAGAAUCAUGACACCUCAUCAGUCAAUGCCAUGUCAUCAAUCCGUCUAUGUGAACAGUGUCGUGAACAGUAACGUAGACAGUACCGUACAUGUAAAUAGUACCGUACAUGUGAACAAUGCCAUUUUUCCUUUUAUGCUCCUCCUAAGGUUUUCGACCGUCCUGAGUUCAAAAGUGAUGUCCGUUUUGCCGUCUGAUCUCUCGUUUAUUGUGAAAUGACCAUGAUGCCCCUAAAAUACAUAAAAUACUUAAUUAAAAUAAAACACACGGAAUUAAAUCAAAAGAAGGUUACAUACAUAAAAGUAAGGGUGUUAGUAAAACUUGAAGUAUAAAAUGACGAUUUUCUCCUUUAUAAAUAUACAUUUUCUAACACUCAACACACGGGUUCUUUGUAUAUCAGCCUAUGUGGAUCCCACGAUUGAUAUUGGUUUCGUCUAAUUAGCUGGCGACGGUGACGAACUCAUUCUCUUUUUUUUAAUCAAACUUUCAAGCCCUAACUUUAUCCAAGUUCUUCACAAAAAUUUGAGGCUUAUUUCCAAGGGUAUUUUAGGUCAAGGAUGGUGGCUUUGAAGGUUUAUAGAAGCGGCUUGUGAGGUAGAUCAUUGUUAGAUAGAGAGAGAGGUAGAGACAAAGAGAGAGAGAGAGAGAGAGAGAGAGAGAGAAGAGAGCUUCAGUUCAGAGAAGAAAAUGGCCAUGGGGAUAGAUUUUUUGCUUAUCAAAAUUUUUAGAUUUUAGGUUUCCAUGUACACCUCAUUAAAACAGCAUAGUUUCUAGAUAAUUUAAUUUAAUUUUUAAUAAUUACUACAUCAAGCGAAAAUACAACUUGUGGUCUGGUUGUUUAACGUUUAAAAUUAAAAAGCUAAAGCUUAGAAGUCUACGGUUCGACUCCUAGCGUAUACAAAAUUAAAAUUUUAUUUUGUUAAUUACUGAUACCUUAAUGUCACAUAUCUUUGAUACUUAUCUAUUAAGUGCAGAAAAUGUCCCAAAUGCAUGUAAUUACUGAUACUUUUUAAUAAAGUGUCACAAGAUAAGUGUCAACAAAUACCAUUUUUCUUGAAGUGUUAAUUAAAAAAAUUCGAUUUUACCCUCAAUGAAUUACACAGUAAACAACAAUAAAUUAACGGAAGGGUGUUUUGAGCUUUUUUUUUUUUAAAGUAUGGAUGAAAUGAACUGUUGUUUGAAUAAUAAGGAUGAAUUAGGCUAUUGCAACAAAUUCAAGGGAUGAAAAAGGAUUUUUCUCUUUUACUUAGGUGCUGUUUAUUUUUUAGUUUGAAGUUUGAAUUUAAUUUUUUUUAGACAUUUGUUUAUUUUAGGUUUUUUUUUUAACUUAUCACUUAUUGUCAUAUAGUUUAUCUGAAUAGAAAAAGUAGAAAAAGUUCACUUUAUUUGAAGUCUGAAGUCUAAAUAUAUAUUUUUAAUUUCAAAUCUCAAAAAUACCCUUAACAAUUCAUGUAUUUCUAAUAUUAUGUAUAAACCUUAUAUUUUUGUAUUAUUCUUGAAGUUAUUUUUCUAAUUGCUUUAAAUUUUUAUUCACAUGAUAACAUUAACUAAACUGAAAUAUUGAACAAAUCAAAUUAUGUUAAUUGUGAUGAAUCAAAAAUAAAAUAAUAGUGUUGACUUUAUAAUAAACUUUAAUGUUAUAAUUACAUCUUUCAUUAAAAAAUUAAAAGAAGAUCAACAAUGAUAAUAUUUUUUUUAAUGUUACCAAACUAAUCAACCUGUGAAAAUUAUAACUGUGAAGAACAAAUAUAUGCACCACUUAAAAUGAUAUUUAUGCCAAAUUACUAGUUUUUAGGAUUUUCUCUUUAGAUGUUGAAAAAGAAAAACAAAGAUGUCAUUCAAAUAUUUUCAUUCAUAUUUAUUCAGAUUUUAGUUAAAUUCAGAUCUAUUCAGAUUUCAGAUUAAAAAAAAAAAUGCAAUCUUAGUUUAUAGGUACAGGACUCCACUCUAGCAUGGUUUUUAAUAUAAAAAGAGAGAGAGAGAGGAGAGAGAAAAUGGAUAAAAGAAAGAGUAAUGAUAAAAAUUAAAAUAAUGCUCGUGGGCAUUUUAGUCAAUUCAAGUUGAGAUGAAUGGAAAUCAAAAAAUAAAGAGGAAACCUAUUUGAAGUUUUAAACCGAUAAAAAAAAUAUUUUAUGUUGUAUUUCUCCCGAUACCCAUUAAUUAAAUUUUAAAUUUAUGAUUAUCCUUUAAACAUCCCUCUUAAUUUCAAAAAUAGCCCUUUAUUCUUUUCCACCAUAAUGGUGUUUUAAGCGAUACAUAAAAUGUUUUUCUACCAUAAUUUUGAAUUUCAAAAACUUGCUUUAGUGUUGGUUAAAAAUAAUUAUUUUUCAGGAUUAAUAAAAGUUUCUUAUCAUAAACUCAUUGUAAUUUUUUCUUAGUUGACGAAACUCUACAAAACUGAAUUUGUGUCCCUAGCAAUGCCACUUUGAAGCUUUUACAAAAUUAAUUGUGAUGUCACUGAUGUGUCUAUUAUUUUAAGCUACAAUCAAGGCAUAAAACCUUGUCAAUCUUGUAAUAUGCUGGUGUUGGGGAUUUGGCGAGGGUAUUGUAAUUAAAAACUUCAAUUACAUUAAAAGAUUUAGGAAUAAUGUUUUAAUUAUAGAUUCAUAGCGGAAAUCCUUUUUUGGGAUCCUUUUAUUAAGCUGUAGUCACAGUCAAAUAAUCAUUUGGCUUUAAGUUUUUGAUAUAUAUAUCUAUAUAUACAUGCACACAUAUACAUACAUACAUAUGUAUGUAUAUAUAUUCAACAGAGAAGAUUGAAACUAUAUGUAACACAUUAGACUGAACUUGCCCAUGAGCUAUCUGAUCUAAAAUUAUUGAUGAACUAGACAUAGGGGUUCACCUUGUAGGGAAAAUAGAAUCUAGAUCGUUUAAUGCUAUAUUUAAUAUUGGCGUAACAAUUGGACACUAUUAGAUUGCAUUAGAUAUAAGAUAUCCAACAAGCGAUAGCUGAGAAUGCAUAAGGGAUUCUACCCAGUGCUGUUGCAACAGUUUCUCAAUUAGAAAGACAGUAAACACCAUUAAGUCACAUUGCUUUUAUCCCUCUGUCUGACGUGAUAAUUUUCUUUACUACAUUUUUUAUUUAUUGUAUUUUUAUUUUAAUUAGUUUAUUAGUAUUAUUAGUCGAUUUAUUUCCAAUUAAAACAAAACUGCGUUGUUAAGAUUGUUAUAGCAAAUAUGAUAACAUAAAUCCCUAUGGAGACGAUCUGGAUACUCAUCAGUAUAUUACUUGUUGUGUACACUUGAACAUUGACAUCCAUAGCAUUAAAGAUUUUACACACCACAUAUUUACAAAUUAAAUAAGGCUUUGUACAGUUUAAAAUAAGCACUUAGAGCUUAGCUUGUUAGAUUCAAGUAUGUAAGGCUUUCUCAGUGGCAUUUUCAGCACUCCAAGUCUGAUAACUCUCUUUUCCUCAAAUGGGAUAGAGGUCUUUUGGUUCUAGUUUUGGCAUAUGUUUAAGACAUGAUCAUCACUAGCUCCAGCUCUUUUAUAGUUCAACAGGUUAUUCAAGAAAUGCGUUACACAUUUGCUUUAAAAGACUUGGCAAAGCUCCAUUAUUUUCUAGGCAUUGAAGUCAUAAAGACUCAAAAUAUAGUUCAUUUAUCUCAAGCCAAAUAUAUUGUCGACAUUUUAGCAAAACAUGGACAUGGCUAGUUGUAGUCCAGUGCCUAUACCUAUGUGAACUGGUCAUAUCUUAAAGACUUAGGUGAUGAAAUUGAUAAUGCAUCUUAGUGUAAAAGUGUUAUUAGAGCUUUGUAAUAUGCCACUCUCACAACGCGAGAGCUAGCCUUCUCAAUUAACAAAUUAAGCCUAUUUUUCUUACGUCCAAGGACUCAUCAUUAGGAAGCAUGAAUACGACUCUUGAUAUACUUGAAGGGUACUUUACAUUUUGGAUUGCAUUUCUAUAGUUGUCGUGCUAUGCAGUUAAACUAUUUUGUAUAAUAUUAUUGGGCUUGUGAUAGAGACGAUAAGGAUUUGCAAUAUAUCCAGGUCCCAACUUGGUUUUAUAGUUAUCUAAGAACCAAUCAGUGGUCUUUCGAUCAAGCACAAAGGCUGAGUAUAUAGCUUUAACUCAUUCAACUUAGCACCAUGCCUAUAAUCUGGUGUGCCAAUCAAGAAGCAACUACUUUGGCGUAUAACCCCAUUUAUCAUGCUAAAACCAAACACAUUGAGCUGGACAUACAUUUCAUUAGAGACAAAGUUGUAGCCAAGCAAAUUCAAGUUUGUUUUAUACUAAGUGCAGACCAAACAACUAAUUUGUUAACCAAAGCACAUACUUUUAAACGGCUCUAUUACUUGCGUAGCAAGUUGAAUGUUCAUUCUAGACAUUUUAACUUGAGGGAGGUUGCAAGUGAAUCAGAUGUUACUUGAAUGCAGAGCAUAUGGUGCAGCCAAUAGCAGCAGAUCAACUACUAAGCUAAUGUAGCAGAAUUAGCUAUUUGGUUUAACUUGUAUUAAGCAAAGCUCACGUGAGCAUAACAGAAUAAAAAGCAUUUAUAACGGAAUUAGAAGCAUGUAGAAUUCAGCACUAUAAAUAUGUAACGUGCUUUCAUUUCAAUUAAUUAAUUAGAAUCUUCUACAAGUUUCUUCAAAAUAUUCUCUCUCGUUUUCUAGUAUUUCUUGCUACUUUCUUACUUGCCAAACAUCUUCCAAUAUUCUAAUAUUGUACAAGUCAAAAUGUCAAACCAGUGCAUGGCUUGAGCAUUAAUUGUUGACACGACUCAAAAGUAUAUUACUCCCAAGUAUAAGAUUAUCUAGUUAUAAUAUAACCCGGUAAAUCCGGGAUCGAAUCACAGAGAAUUUAAAAUCUAGUUGUCAAUUUAUUGGACAAAGAAAAUUAAUUGCGGUAAAAGAAAUCACUAGAAAAAAAAUUAAAAAUAUGCUAAGGUUUCGAGAUCCACUCUUAAUAUUCAAACUAUAAUUUUAAUACUUUCUCAUUUAUAUUUUUUUCUCACUUUUACCAGUUAAUUAUUAUAUCAUUUAAUUCUAUGUGUGUGGAUAAAUAUGGAAUAAAGUACCUAAUGUGCCACAACUGUAUUAAUGUAUCGACAUUAUGUCAAAAUACCAUAUAGAUCCAAAAGAAUGUAUAAAUUAACAUGACAUAAAAAUAACCAGAAAAUAAUAAAAUAAACUUAAAAACUCACUUUGAGAAAAUAAUAAAUUUAAUAGUUUGAAACUUUAAGCUUUACCCUUCACCUUAGCUUAGUAAAAUUAGCCACUCAUAUUGAAAGAAAACACAACAUUCUUUUUAUUUGAUAAACUUUUGAAAUAUGUUAUAAAGAAAAUUGAUACAAAUGGAAACAAGAAAAGAAAAGUAAGAAAGAAAGAAAUUCUUCAGCUGCACCCUUGGCUACCACUCUCUCUCUCAGCUCUUGGCUCAACUCCCCCCUAAAUUGCUUGCAUCCCCUUGCCUUUUAUAGGUAAGGGAAGCAUCUUCUUUUCUUUUCUUUUAUUAAUAUUAAUAUUUUAUUUUAUUUUUAUAUUAUAUAUACAUAUUGAAAGGGGUGAUGGCCAGGAGGCGUGAUGGCCUCUUGACCAUCACAAGCAACCAAAUCAUAGCUGCCUUUUGUUCUUUUGUUCUUUUUUUUAUUUUAUUUAUUACAUCUCCUUAAUGAUGCAUUCUAAAUUGCUCCAACAGUCCUUCUUUGUUCCCGCUUUCGAUUCCAAUUCCAUCUUUAUUCCUGAAAAAUAUUUACAAGAUAAAAAUUAACAUAUUACGAAUUAAUUUUACAUAAAAAUAUAUUUGGGGAGUAUUAAGAUAAUUUAUAAGUAAUGAACACAUUAAUCGACAUAAUAAGUGAAAAACUAAUAAUUUUAUCGUUAUUAAAUGUACACUUUUUAAUGCCAAUCAAUUGUCGCUUAGAUCAAAGGUUGAUUGUGCCGCCAUGUUUUAUUCAAGCUUAAAAAUGGACAUAGGACAUUGCUGGUGUAGUGAACUGUAUCGAUUGUUGGUGGCUUUGUCGCAAAUUCUAAUUGUUUUGGGCUUGUAUUCGUGCCUGUGGCAUUUUUUAAGAUCCUAGGUCUGAAAAUUUAUGGAACGACUUAAAAACAUUUGAUUUACUCUCAAGUGUAAGAGUACCUAGUUAUAAUAUAUCUCGGUGAGUCCGAGGUCGAUCCACAGAGAAAAGAUUUAAUUAAUUUAUUUUAUUUUAUCUAAAAUUUGAAAAUAAAACUUAAAUACAAACAACUUAAUUUAAAUAAAACUAUGAAAUUGAAUUAGUUAGGGUUGUGGAUUCACUCUUAGUUGUAAAUAAAACUUAAUAAAUUCUUUUUGCCAUUUUUUUAGAUUUAUUGCCCAAAAGAUUCAUUAUAUAAAUUAUUAUUAUUUUCCCUUUAAUUUUAUAAUGGAUUAAGUAUUCAUUGUGCCAAAAUUUAAUUUGUCUACAAUAAGUCAAAAUACCAUUUUACCAUACCUUAUAUUAAGAUAAAAAGAAUUUAUUGUGCCAAACUCCCUUGUUUGUCUACAAUAAAUCAAAAUUUCAUAAUAUAAAAUGCGUAUAAAAUUAAAUAGAAAAUAACUUAAUUUAUAAAAUUAAAAAUAGAAUUUGAUUAAAUCAUAUUUAUUUCCUAAGAGUUCACCUUCCCCUAACUAUUAAUAUUUAGCUAAACAUUUUUUUAAUAAAGGAAAUUACUAAAAUUGAAAAACACAUAAUUAAAAAUGGAAUUUGAAAAUUGAAAUAAAACUAAUUUUAUUGAUUGAAAAUAAAUUACAAAGAGAGAUGAAAAGAAGAAUUUGGGGGGAAAGAAGAGAAGAGAAGGUGUGGAGAGGUGUGUUCACCCCCCCUCUAUUUAUACUAAUACAUGGUAAAUUCUCACCACACAAAUAAAAAAUCUAAUUACAUCUUAACCUUACAUUUGUCCCACUAAUAAUCCCACUAAUGAAACAUAAACCUAACUUAUCCACUCAAGCAUAUCCAAUACAUUCCACUAACAAUUACCAUACCUAACAUGAUAAAAACUUAUAAUUUUAUAAUUGCCACAUUUACCGUGGUAAAAACGUAAAAAUUUACAACAAAAGUCUUGGAUCCUCCUCGACAAUGACAUAAUUUCUCGGACUUCCGGAAUCCAAAUUUAACAUCCAUACAUUUGAUCGGAGCCUCAAAUUGCAUGAAAUUAUUAUUUUUACCUAAUAAACAUAAAAUACAUAAAAUCAAAUAUUUAGAAAAAUAAUUAGAAAUUCACAAUAUGUUACACAAUUACAAAUAUAAAUUACAUUAAUAAAAAAAUAUAACAUUUUAACCCUUAAUAAACAUGCAAUUUUUAACACUAAUCACACCCCCCAACUAGCUUAUUGCUAGCCCCUAGCAAUUAAAGCGUUAUAUUAAAUUAAGAUUUACAAAAUUCACAUGCAAGUUAAUAGUUGUUCAUCUAUCCUCUAAAUUACCAAAUAAAUAAACUCUCCCAAUUUUUUUUUUAAAUCUUGGUCGUCCACUCAUUAUCCAAAAUAUCAUAAACCUUAUUUUCUGCUCAAGUAAUUAACACAAUACUUAUGGGGUUUCAUUAAAAGAAAACAAUAUUUUCGUUUUAAAACUCAUUAGAAAUUCUAUCUUCAGGCAGUAGAUUAUUCAAGCUUUUUUUUUUAAAUUGCAUUUUUAACCCAUGUAGCGAGCUUUAGGUCAGUGUCUCCCAGACCAGUUGACCUUAGGACAAUCCAUAACUAGGCCACCUUUCUUUGACUUUAAUGACUACCCAUAUUGAAAAACUAGGAGAAUUUAUUUGUAAGCUUUAGGUUAUAAAAUUUGGCAAGUUGUUUGUGAUGGUUCAUUCAUGCCUAUGACUAAAAAUAAAGUAGGAGAUGAUAUUCAAAAACCUUCAAGUCAAUGAAGUGAGUUAGAAAAGAAAAAGAUAUCUUUAAACUCUAAGGCAGUGAAUGCUUUGUUUUAUACUCUUGAUAAGAAAGAUUUUCUUAGAGUGUCUAGUUGUAAGAGUGCUCAAGAAAUAUGAAACAAACUUGAAGUUGUCUAUUAAGGGACAAAUCAAGUUAAAGAGUCUAAGAUUAGUAAAUAUACUCGACAAUAUGAAUUUUUCUAAAUGGAACAAAAUGAGAGCGUGUAUUCUAUUUAUACUAGGUUUACAUAUAUUGUGAACACAUUAGAAGCCCUAGGAAAAAUAUUUUCGAAUAGCAAAAAAGUUAAGAAAAUUAUUAGGUCUUUACCAAUAGAAUGGAGACCUAAGAGAACUGCCAUAGAGGAAGCUAAAGAUUUAAAUACUUUGCAUAUUGAUGAUUUAAUUGGUUUUCCUAUUUCAUAUGAGGAAGAUUUGACAGCAGAAAAAGACAAUAAGGAAAAAAAAAAAAAAGAAAAGCAUUGCACUUAAAGCAUCAAAGCAUGCGAGUGAUGAGGAAAGCGAGCUUGAUGAUGAAGAUAUGGCUAUAUUGUCCAAGAGGUUUAAAAAAUUCUUCAAGAAAGCCGGUGAGCGGAAAAGAUUCAGAAACUACAAGAACCAAAAGGAGAAGAAGGAGCUAAUUACUUGUUAUGAGUGCAAGAAUCAUGGACACAUACGAUCGGAAUGUCCUCUUCUCGAAAAGCUUAAGAAGAAGGCAAUAGUAGCCAUAUGGGAUGUUAGUGAUAAGGAAACAAGUGAUGAUAAAGAGCAACAAGAGAUGUAAAAUCUAGCUCUCAUGGAAUUGGGAUGAAUCGUUUGACGAACUUGAUGAAGUAAGUGAUCUACCUAUGAUUAAUUAUAUAAUGCUUUUAAGGAAUUGCAUGAUGUAUGCCUUAAAAGGAAAAUGCUAGAACUUUCAAAUGAAAAUGAUGUCUUGUAAAAUGCAAUGAUUCAUUGAAUAAAAAGAUCAAGGGAUUGGAAUUAGAUAAUGAAAUGUUGUAUGAUAUGAUUACAUCAUUUAAAUAUAAAUAAAGUACUUCAUAUGAGCAUGAAAAAUCACAUGUUGAUAAAUUGAUAAAAGAAAAUGAAGUGCUUAAGAAAAAGAGUAAUGAACUCAACAAAAUUUUGUUAAAAUUCACAAGUGGUCAAAAGAAUUUAGAAAAAUUGCUGAACUCUAAAAAAUGUGUAUUUGAUAAAGGAGGACUUGGGUAUAAGCCUAGCUUGACUUGAAGCAAAAGUAUUUUAGGAAUUACUUUGUUAAAGCUACCUCCACUAGUGAUCAUAAAAUUAAUUGUCAUUAUUGCAAUCAAAAUGGUCAUAUGAAAUAUAGAUGUCUAAUGAAAAGAAAUGCAUUCAAUGGAGUCAAAUGUGUAGCUCCAAAAGGAACUAUUGCUAACACUCAAGGACCCAAAGAAAUUUGGGUACCUAAGACUUGAAAUUUCCUCUGCAUGGUUUGAAGAAGAAAAAGAAUAAACGGCACCUGGACAGUGGUUGCUCAAGGCAUAUGACUAAAAUUAUUCUUGGUUUUCAAGUUUUACCAAGAUUGAAAACAGUAGAGAUGUGUCAUUUGGAGAUAAUUCAAAAGGAAAGAUUAUCAGUAUCGGUAAUAUUAGUAAAAAAUCCUCUACUCUUAUUGAAAAUGUGUGUUUGGUUGAAAACUUGAAAUACAACUUACUUAGCAUUAGUCAAUUGUGUGAUAAAGACUAUAGAGUUAUCUUUGAUAAAUCGAAAUGUGUUAUUGAGAAUGCAUAUGAUGGCAAGAUUUUGUUUGUAGAAAAUAGAUGUGUUAAUGUUUAUAUCAUUAAUAUAGAUUGUGUAUCUACUUAUGAUAAAUGUUUCUCUACAUUACAUGAUUAUAGUUGGUUAUGGUAUAGAAGACUAGGUCAUGCAAGUAUGGAUUUGAUUUCAAAGAUUUCAAAAAAUGAUUUGGUUAAUGGCCUUCCAAAAAUUAGUUUUCAAAAAGAUAGAAUUUGUGAAGUUUGCCAAUUUGAAAAAUAAAUCAAAACUUCUUUAAAAAAAAGAACCAUGUCUCAACUUCAAAACCACUUCAACUACUUCACAUGGAUUUGUUUGGACCUUCUAGAUAUGUAGUUUAAGUGGCAAAUAUAUGCAUUUGUGAUUGUGAAUGAUUAUUCUAGAUACACAUGAGUAUUGUUCUUUGAUAAUAAGAAUGAUGCCUUGGAUGCAUUUAGAAUUUUCUACAAAAAGGUUCAAAAUGAAAAGGGAUGUGCUAUUUCUUGUAUUAGAAGUGAUCAUGUGGAGAAUUUGAAAAUCAUGUAUUUGAGAAUUUUCUAUAAAAAGGUCAACACUGCUUGUUAUGUUUUAAAUCAUAUGUUUAUUAGACCUUAUCUCAAUAAGACUCCCUAUGAGCUUUGGAAAGAUAAAAAACUCAACAUUGGUUAUUUCAAAAUUUUUGGAUGCAAAUGUUUUAUUUUGUAAACAAAAGAUAAUCUUGGCAAAUUUGAUCUAAAAUCUUAUAUUGAUAUUUUUCUUGGUUAUUCAAAUACAAGCAAAACUUAUAGAGUGUAUAAUAAAAGAACUUUGGUUGUGGAAGAAUCUAUGCAUGCUAUAUUUGAUGAGUCUAAUCCUUCCUCUACGGAGAGAGUUGUUGUCGAUAAUAAUAUAGAUGAACAGUCACAACAAGGAUUAUCAAAAGAUAAACAAGAUGAUGCAUCACAUGAAAAUAAAGAGGAUAGACAAUGAGAAUAAAUAAAUGAGGAGCAACAAGAAGGUACAUCUCAAACACUCCCCAAGGAGUGGAGGUAUGUUUCCCCUCAUCCGAAGGAUUUAAUUGUAGGUGAUCCUUCAAGAGAUGUUACCACUAGAUUAUCAUUUAGAAAUACUUGUGAGCACGCUGCAUUCAUAUCUCAAAUUGAACCAAAUUCUUUGCAGAUGCGAAAAAUGAUGAAUCUUGGAUCAUGGCAAUACAAGAGGAGUUGAAUCAAUUUGAGAGAAACAAUGUGUGGAAAUUAGUUUCUAAAUCGGAACAUCAAUCUAUUAGGCACUAAAUGGGUAUUGAGAAAUAAAAUGAAUAAAUCCAGUGUGGUUGUAAGGAAUAAAGAUAGAUUAGUGGCUCAAAGAUACAACCAAGAAGAAGGAAUUGAUUUUGAUGAAACAUUUGCGCCUGUAGCUAGAUUAGAAUCCAUUAGGAUGUUGUUAGCAUUUGCAUGUCAUAAAUAUUUAAUUUUUAAUCAAAUAGAUGUCAAAAAUACUUUCUUAAAUGGUUAUAUUAUGGAGGAACUUUAUAAGUUUUCUAAAGCACUGUAUGGAUUUAAAACAAGCACCUAGAGCAUCGUAUGACAAGCUUAAAAAUUUCUUGCUGGAUAAUGAGUUUUCAAUGGGAAAAAUGGAUACUACUCUCUUUGUUAAGCAUAAGAACCAAGAUAUACUUGUUGUUCAAAUUUAUGUUGAUGAUAUUAUCUUUGGUUCUACUAAUGAGUUUUUGUGCAAGGAGUUUUCAUCUUGUAUGAUGAGAGAAUUAAAGUAUUUCCUUGGACUUCAAAUCAAACAAAACAAUGAGGGAAUCUUCAUCAACCAAGCUAAAUAUGUCAAAGAUCUACUCAAAAGAUUUGACAUUGAUGACUCAAAUCCAAGAGACCUCCAAUGAGCACAACAAUCAAGCUUGACAAAGAUGAAAAAGAUAAUAAGAUUGAUAUAAAAAUGUAUCGAUGUAUAAUCAGCUCUUUACUUUACUUAGCCGCAAGUAGACCUGAUAUCAUGUUUAGCGUAUGUUUGUGUGCAAGAUUUCAAUCAUGUCCCAAGGAAUCUCAUUUGCUUGCUGUGAAAAGAAUUUUUCGUUAUUUGAAUAGAACUAUAGAUCUUGGCCUUUGUUAUCCUAGAGGAACCUAUAUAGAUUUAACUUAUUAUUCGGAUGUCAAUUUUGCUGGUUAUAAAAUCGAUAGGAAAAGCAUUAGUGGAACAUGUCAUUUCUUAGGUCAUUCUCUUAUUUCAUGGUUUAGUAAGAAACAAAAUUCGAUUUCACUCUCAACCACCGAGGCAGAAUAUAUUGCCGUAGGUAGUUGUUGUCCACAAACUCUUUGGAUGAAACAAACACUUAGAGAUUAUGAAUCUUGAACAAAUUCUUAUCAUGUAUAAUAAUAUUAGUGCUAUAAAUCUAUCAAAGAAUCCCAUUUAGCACUCUAGAACCAAGUAUAUAGAGAUUAGACAUCAUUUCUUGAGAGAUUAUGUUCAAAAGGGCAACAUUGCAUUAGAAUUUAUCUAUACAGGAAAAAAAAACUUGCCUAUAUUUUUACAAAACCUCUUUGCGAAAAAUAAUUUUCAAAAAUUUGGCAUAAACUUGGGAUAAUGAAAUUUUCGCAUUAACAUCUCUAAUCAUGUUAUUGAAUCUAUUAAAAUUGAUUGAUUGAUGAUUUGCUUAUGAUUACAAAGUUUUUAAGCAUGAUAAAUGAGUGAUGUAUUUGAAUCAAUAAUCUUUGAAUGCUUACAUGUCUCAUGAUUGUGUGAUGUAUAUGUAUGAUAAAUGUGUUAUAUAUUUAAAUUUAUAAUCUUUGAAUAUUUAUAAUUAUGAUUCAUGCAUUAAAAUGGCUUUUGAAAGUGUUCGGGAUCACGAAAUGGUUUUGGAAUCGAUCAAAAUUAGCCGGAAAGCAAACAUUUGUGCAAAAGGGCAGCAAAGAGACAGUUACCCGCUUGCCCCAAACCCGAGAGUAAGCGGCUAGCCAUUUGCCUCUAAGCGACUAGCCGCUUGGUCACGGUUUUUAUACAUUUCUUCCCCCUUUCUCUUGCUUUCUUCAACCUUUCUCUACUCUCUUUCAUGGCCGUUCAUCUUUCCUCCAUUUCCUCUUAAAUUAUUUUCAUUUCUCAGUCAUUUUCAUGCCAAAAUCAAUCUUUUAAACCAUUACCCAUGCAUUUAACCUUCAUUAAACACUUCCCAAUCAUCAUUUCAUCACUUGUUUCUCCAAAUCUAAAAAUCAAAACCUAAGCUUACCUAUAUCUCUCUCUUAUAUUUUAGGCUCUUUUUAGCUCAUUUUUUUUAUCCAAUUAAUACCAUACAUUGCCUUAAAUCAUCUCUAGGAUCAAUUUUAUUGAUUCAAAUACAUUCAUUUCACUCAAAAUCUUGAAAAUUCGAAUUUAGGUAUUAAAGCUUGUUCUUGUUUUCAACAAUAGUUAGUAGCCAAAAAUCCAAGGGAAAACAUAUAGCCAAGAAGCGCAAGGAAGAUCAUGGAGACAAUCUAGAGUUCAUAUUAACACAUUUUCUGCAACCACCUUUUCAGAAAUGUUUUCACGAUAAAUUUAUGUCGAGGUUGGUUAUUGCCCCCUAUUUUGUCAAUCUUCUUCAUUCGGAGAAUUUAGCAAUUUUUGAUAAAUCUCUUAGUGAUUUUCUUAUUGACAUGGGUUAGAAAAAUGUUUUAGUUUUCAAGGAACGAUGUUAUGAAAUUUAGUUAAAGUUUUUUAUUCGAAUAUGGUUAUUUCUUUGCAAACUACAAAUAGAAUUGUUACAAGUGUUGGGGGAAUACAUAUUGAGUUUGAUGUUGUGGAUUUAAAUCAUAUUCUUAGAACUCCAAAUGAAAGGUUGGAACAUUAUACUGCUAAAAGGAAAAUAGAUUAUUCGUGGUAUUCAGUUGAGGAUAUUGUUCGAAAAAUUUGUAGAUGUUUCGAUUUGUCCUUUAAGUUUUGUAAAUCUACCUUGAAAUCUCAAGCCUUACCCCUUCAACUUAGGAUCCUUCAUUAUGUUCUUUAACAUGUCAUUAGUCUUAGGCCUGGACAUGGGGAUGAAGUUACUCGAUUAGAUGUGGCCUUAUUGGAUAGCAUUCUAAAGGGUAGGGUGCUAAAUGUCAGUUAUAUUAUUCUUCAUCAUAUACUUAGCACUCCAUGUAUAGCAAAACGAUCCCUUCCUCAUGGAAGCAUUUUUACCCACAUUCUCAAACAAUUUUGGGUACCCAUAAUCGAACCAACAUUUUUGAAUCCUAAGGAAUUAGGAGAUGAAGCUAUAGCCAAUUUAGGGUUUAUAUGGACGGAAGAUAAAUGGUGUAAAAACCAGAGAUACAAAAACAAGGGUACUACAUUAGCUCCUAUAGAUCAUCGUUUCUUUAACGAUGUUCUUCCACCAAACCAGCUCCUUGAUCUCAAUGCUCCACAGCGCUCACAUCCUUCGUCUUCUGAGGGUCCUUCCUAUUCUACUUCAGCAGACCUUGAGGAUCCAAUACAGUAGCUAUUAACUGAAGUGCAUUCUCUUUUUGAGCCGCAGAACCAAUUUCAGUCCCAGUUUGAGGCCUUUCAAAUUCAGUCCACUUUGAAGCAACAACGCCUGUUUAAGCAGUAACAAUGUUUAUUUAAUCAACGACAUCGACUCUUUGCUCAACAACAGUAGCUUUUUGAUGGUCAACAACAACUUUUCGCUGCUCUUGGGUUUCCACCGCCAUCCUCAUUAUCACAUUCACCAUCUUCAUAGUGUUCUAUUCUUUUUCAUCUUGAUUUUAGUUCUUUGUUUUAUUCUGCACUACAUUUUCAUAUGCAUUGUUGUUUUACUUAUGGAUUAAGGAUGAUUGUUGUUUGAUAUUUAAAUGUUUUACAUUUGGAUGAUAUUUUAUGGAUUCUUGGAUAACUCUUUGGUUACUUGCAUGCUUGAUUUUUAUAUGUUUCUUGAUUAUCUAUUGAGAUGUUAUUUUUGGUCUGAGCAUGGAGUUAUAGUAAUUGUGAUGAUGAAGAGGGAGAAGUCAUGUAUUUUGACCUUGAAAUAUUGAUGCAUGAUUUUGAAAUAUUUAGAGGGACCAUACAUUUGUUAAAGAUCAUGUAUUCAGGGAGAGUUCAUAGUUCAUUUAUAUGUUGAAUUAUGUAUGCCAUAUAUUAAGGGGGAGUAUAAAUGUCAAAAUACAUGAAAUGUUUGUCAUCAUCAAAAAAGAAAAGAUUGUUAGCCUAAAGGGUUACAUAUAUUGUAAUUUUGAUGAUAAAAAACAUGUCUUAAGUAAUAUGAUAAAUAUUGUAUUUCACAUUUUCACUAGUUCUUGAAGGAUAAUAUUUAGGCAAGUGAAUCACGUGAAAUCAGGCUCAAGGCACUCAACGUACAAUAGCUCGAUCAAGAACAAAAUUUAGUUCAACGAAGUCAUUAUUGCGACAAAUUAUUGUAAAGCUGAUAUGAUUUAAUGUAUGCAGGGUUUAGCAUUUAAAAAGCUCGAGAAGUUGUGGGUAAAAAUAUAAUUUUUAAUAUAAUAUUAUUGUAGAAAAAUUCAAAUUGCAACGGUAACUUGCACUGUAUUAAGUGGUGAGCCGGCUAGUUAAGAGGCUAAUCGCUUGCUUGCGGGUUUUGUCCAUAAUGGCUAGUUUUUGUAUCAAAACUAUAUAAAAUCAAAUCCAGUUCAUUUUUAAAGACUUUUGCAAGUAUAAACAAGUGUAAACAAUAUAUUUUAAGCUUCUAAUUCGCAAAUCAUCAUAGAUUAAAUAUUCAUUGAGUUAUUAUUAAGAGGUUAAUAUCGUAGAGGUUACCGGGCAAAGCCAAAUUGAACUUGGAGAAUCUUAGUAAGUGUUCAAUUUUGACCAGAAUUUUUCAUUUUCAACCUUUAAUUUUCAAAGAUUAACCAUUAUGGACUUGCUUUUUUUUGUUUGUGCUUCAAUAAGCUAGUCUUCUUUCACAUUGCUUAAUUACAAAAUUUUACUACUAAUACAUCAAUUUAUUAAUUUUUUAUUAUUUUACUUUAUAUUUACAAGUCUUAUACUCCAUUUCUAAAUUUUAUAUUUUAUUUUACAAAUAACGUUGAUUUAUAAAUUUUAUAUUAAAUUCACAAAUUUUCUGUUUGAUUUACAUAAUCUAAGUUUAAUCACAAUAUUGAUACCAUGGUUUUAGUCACUACUUUAAUUAACAACUAGAUACGGAAAAAAAUAUAUAUUUUAACUAACUCAUUACAUGAAGCUUUUAAUAUAUUAUAUUCUAAAAUAAUUAAAAUAUAUAAGACAAAAAUCCUGACAUUCUUGCUGUUUUUGGAACGUUAUAGUGGCAACUUUUUAUUUUAUUAUUAUAUAAGAGUGAAAAUCAAAUCUCUUCCCUAUCACUAAGUAGUAUACUUCCCAAAAAAAAAAAAAAAAGAAUUUGACUGUCAUUUAAUUACAUUAAAAAAAAUGUCAUAGAAAGUGUUGUGUCACUUUUAAUCAGAGGAUGGGAGUGCAUUACGACUAUUGUAUAUAUGUUAUGUUUUCAUGAUGAUGUUGUUUAAAUAUUUAGUGCUUAUUUGGUAUGACUUAUUUAAUAACUAUAAGUGUUUAUUUAAUCUCAUAAGUUCCUAUCAUAAUUUUUGUUAUUGUUUGGUUGUUUUUCUAAUAGAGUUUUUAAAACUUAAAUAAGUUAUUUUAUCUCUACUAGUAAAAGCUCCAAUUUUGAGCUUUUGAGAGUAGAGGCUGAGAAGUUUUUUUUUUUAAAUGUCAAAAUAUCUAAAAUAUCCUCUACUUAUUUAAUAAUUGUAUUUAUUAUUUUCAUAAUAUAACUUUAAAAAACUUGCCUAUUAUAAUAAUUUCAUAAAUUUUUAAUAAAUAUUUUUAUUGACAACCAAACAACUAAAUAUUUUUUAGUAAAAACUCUAUUUACAAAAGCUCUAUUUAAAUAAGCUCUACUUUAAAAGCUGUACUAAACAGAGCCUUAGACCGAUACCUAAUAAUAACACAGAGCAGCUCGAGCCUAGCUCACCCAACUAAUGAAAAAGAAAAUGAUUUAGCCUCCUGCUAUUAGAUAGGUGUAAUGCAUGCAAGUAAUACACACAUUUAUUCAAAAGAAAAUACAUUUAUUUAUUCAAAAGGAAAUACAUUUGUAUGACAGAUGUAUAAGUAAUGCAGUGCCAAAAGUCUUCACUUAAAAGUUGAAGGCAUAUCAUCAAAACAUGUGACCCCUAGGGAUAGAAACUUGAACAUUCACAAUGAUCAAUGCAACUUGUCCUUCAUUGUUCCAGAAGAUAGCUAGGCACAUUAAUCCUCCAACAUUUCUCAAUGGAUUUCAAAAUCAUCGACAAUAUAUAGCUUUAUGGUUCUCUUUUUUUUAUUCACAAUUUUUUUAUUCUAAUAUUGAAAUUAAUUGGUAACUGCACAGAACUGACAAUUUCUUGGCACUCAUUUUGUAGGGAAUUGAGAUUGUAACUUACAAAUUUAAUAGCAUUUUGAAGCCAAGGAAAUCUAGUCUCAAUUAAUAUGACUCUAGCUUCAGGAGAUUAUGUCUCUAGACAAAUACCGAUGAUCAUGAAGUGACGGAUGAAUUCUAGUGAUAUAUUCCUUAAAUCGCUUAUAUAUUAUGAUUUUUUUCAGAUCUAAUGACCCAGUAAUUAUUUUUGAGCACAUAUAACACCUAGAUCAUUAAUAAUGGUGAUCAGCAUUGUUUUAAGAUUUAGAGCAAAUUAUGUGAUAGCCUAGGGACACUUGGCCGAAUGUUACCUACAGUUAAAACAAGAUGUUUGUUAAAAUAUCUCAAUGAAGAGUAAGAUGGCGGGAAAGCUGUAGUUCAAUAUGCAGAGAUCUUUUGGCAUUUGGAAACAAUAAUCUUGAAGGUUCUAGAUCCUCACAACGAUGAAAAGGCCAGAAAUUGAUCAACAAAAUGAAGGGUGCAUAAUAUGCAGCAAGUGAAGACAACAGUACACAACGGUCUUAUCAUCAUUGUGCAUAUUCAUCAAUUAGUCUCAGUCAUAAAUCAACAAUUGUAACAGUUGUAAGUAUAGUACAGAGACCUUAUGUAAAAAGCAAGUGAACUCAUGAAUAAAGAUGUGCUGGUUACAUCAAAUUAUUCUGUGCAUUGCUUUCGUAUUAUUCUCUGCACAAAAUAGCCAUCAUUUUAUGUAAUUUAAACUUGGUAUCGGAGCUCUCAUUCCAGAAAUGGGCGUGAUUCAAUAUCGUAGUUCAACUGAAGAGGUUGACCUUAGUGAGCAAACACUUGAAACACCAGCAGUAACACAACAGUCAUCAUCCUUAAUUAUUGCGCAAAACUCCUCUCAAAUUUUCCUUUUCAGUUUCCACAGAACUUGACAGAACUAUGUCAUCUAGAGGACCAUGGUCAUGCCUGCCAUACGUCGCAAUGGUCUGGAGCACCUCAUUAGUGACUCACAAGACAUACCAACCAAAUAUAUCAUCAGUACUGAGGAUGACGGCACAACCAAAUCAACACUAAGACCAAAUUUUGUGAUGUGUUGCAAACCGGACCAACUACUCCUUAGUUGGCUUCUUUCUACAAUCACAGAAAGUAUUAUUUGUGCUGUGACUCAUUGCACAGCUUCUCUUGAGUUGUUGACAGUGCUGGAGAAAAUUUACUCUUCACAGUCCAUGGCUAGGUCAAUAGUGCUAAGGAUGCAACUGCAUAGCACUAGAAACGACAAUAUGAUUAUCAGUGAAUACUGCACCUAAGAUGAGAAAUCUGGUAACGGAACUUGUUACUGCUAGAAAGAUUGUCUCAAAUGAAGAUCUCUGCAACCACAUUAUCACAGGACUUGACAGAAGCUAUGAGUCUGUGUUGGGGAGCCGGACUUCAAUGCUUUAAAACAUUCCUUUUUGAAGAACUCUGCUCAAUCCUCUUAAGCCAUGAAGCAAGACUUGAACAGCAAGCACCUGCUGAAGCACAAGCUGCCUAUGAGGCAAAUGUCACCAUGAAACACAAGUGUGGGAUGAAUGAGAACAAGGAAGGUCAUGGGAAAGGAUACAAUCCAAACCAAGGACCUGGAAAGUCUCAUGGAGGCAGAGGAAGCAACAAUAACAGCUUAAGAGGAAGGGGCAGAGGUAGAUAUGGAGGAAAGAAAACAGUCUUUAAGCCUGAUGUCACCUGUCAUAUUUUGCUUCAAAGUUGGUUACACUACAGAUGAGUGUUGGCACAUACGUGAGGAAGACUUUGUGCCCAGAAACAAUGAGCAACAACACCAAAGAGCGGCCUUUGUUGUAGCUAAUGAAGGAGUGCUUGAAACAGGGUGGAACCUAGACAGUCGUACGACAAACUAUGUGACUAAUGACCUCAACAACUUGAGCAUGAGAUCUGAGUAUAAAGGUAAUUCCUUUCUCAUGGUUUGAAAUGGACACAAAUUAAAAAUAUCACACACUGGCACAAUACUAUUUCCUUUAUCUUUUGGUAAAAAAAGAACAUACUUGACUCUUAAGAAUGUUUAAUAAUGUUCUAUAUGUACUUGAUAUAACCAAUAAUCUCCUUAGCAUAUCAAGUUUGAUCUCAGAAAACCAUCUUAAUAUCUUGUUUACUGAAAAACAUUGUUGUUGUAAAGGACAAGCUGGGGAGUGCUCUUCUUCAAAGAACGAAUCAUGGAGGACUGUUUGUGGUCAGUAGAACUGCUGAAAAUAAAGCGGGAAGUGUUGCUGUCAAUUCUCUUUUAAGUUCACAGUCUUUGUUUGCAAUUAUAAUAGAGUCAAAUUCAGUUGAGUUUGAUUCUAAGUCGGCAGAGUUUGAAUGUGUUCAGUCUAUUGAGUCGAAUAAAAAUCGAGUUGGAUAUGUGAAGCAAUUAGACCUUUUAGAUAGAAAGUUUGGUCAUCCAAGUGAUGCUGUCCUCAAAAUAAUAGUGUCAAGCUGUAAUAAUAUCUCAGCCUUAAAUAAAAAAGAAUCAAGUUCCUUUUGUUCAGCCCAUAUAUAUAGAAAGAACCAUAAGCUAAGCUUCAAAAAAAGCUCACGGACUAAAACGCAAGCAACAUUAGAAUUAUUGCACAAUGAUAUCACCUAUUCCAUUAGGAGAAAGGUACAAAUACUGAGCAUAGUAGAUGACCACACUAGGACAUUUCCACUCAUUAACAAAUCUGAAACAACAAAAAUCUUUAUAAAAUUUAAAGAACAAGUGGAAAGAACAUCAGAAAAGAAAACUUAAGUGCUUAAGUGACUGAGAGGUGAAUUUAGGCCAUUAAAGGGUAUGUAGAGAUAUGAGGAAUAGUCUUUAUAUAUUCAUGCCCUUACACUUCAAUGAAGAAUUGAGUGGAACUGUAUAUAUGCCACAACCAGAUGAAUUUGAAAGCAAGGAAAAUUGGAAAAACCAAGCUAUGUCUGUGAUUGGAAAAAGCACUAUAUGGCUUAAAGCAGGCACAAGGAGUCUGGUAUAAGAAGCUGAGAGGAGUUUUGCUGACUUGCGGAUUCAAAAUGCAAUCUCAGACAAAUCGCAGACACAUUAUUAUUUCUCGGGAAGAAUAAGGGAAAGUCAGUAUAUGUACUUAUAUAUGAUGAUGACAUAUUGAUCACAGGAAGUGACCAAAGAACGACUGAAGGCGUUAUCAAACAAUUGAAUGAAAGUUUUGCUUUUAAAUUACCUCGCAUACCCAUCUAUUUUAUGCAAAUUGAAGCAAAAAGAGACUGUGGAGGGAGGCACUCGUGCUAAGAAAAGUAUAUACAGGAUCUACUAAAGAAAACCAAAAUGUUACAGCUAUAAGAAUAGUACGGAGACCUUGUAUGAAAAGCAAGUGAACUCAUGAAUAAAGAUAUGUCGGUUAUAUCAAGUUAUUCUAUGCAUUGCUUUCAAAUUAUUCUCUGCACGAUAGCCAUCAUUUUCAGUAAUUUAAACUCUUACGCUAAUUGGAAAAUGCACUGGCUUGCUUCUGCAGUAAUUUGGUUGUUGGAUUGGACCAUUGAUUUUAAGUGAUGAAGACAAAAUUCAACAAGGAACACAUACGAGCCACAUGGAAAAAUUCAUUUUUAAUCAUUAUUAAUCACAUAAUAUGAUCCAUGUAGCAAAAAUUAAAUUUAUUAUUAAUAUGAGCCAAGGACUAAUUAUUUCAUACAACAAAGACAACAUUAUGGUAUUUGUUAUUUAGCUUUAUUAUAUGUUGUUCCCUUUCUAUAAAUAAGACUUCGAGCCGUAUUGAAUAAAUAAGGUGAAAGUUAAUUAUCUGCAAUCAUGACAUAUUCCCAAGAUUCAAAAAUCAAUUCAAAUGCCACCUAACAAUAUUUAUUAAAAAUUAAAAAAAUAAAUAUAAAUAGAAACAAAUUAAUGAUUUUCGACUACCCCAAAAUCUAACACAUUUUUUAUCCUGCUGAUAUCUAAAAUCUUGAUUCUCUCAAACUAACAAGAGUUAGAAACAAAACCUAGUCAAAGCAGUGGAUUUAAUUAUACAUUUGUAAAAAUUAUGGCAUCAUCCAUUUUGGAUGCCACAUUAUUUUUAUAUCUAUCGCAAUUUGAUGAGGCAAAGGAAAAAUGAUGACUUUUUUCGAUGAGACAAAAGAAAGAUGGCUUGUUUUUUAAUGAAGAACAAAAAAAUGACUUCAUUUUAGUGAGGCAAGAGAAUAUUGAUUGUUUCUUUUAUCUUCUUCACUGCUUGUUUCGGUUGCAAUAUUUCAAAUUAGUGCAUGAUUAAAAUUCUGUUUUUAUAAAAUCACAUCACAGAUGAAGAUAUGUGGAAAGACAAUUAUCGACGAAGAAGACAUACUUAACAUUUCGUGCUAUAAACAUGAUUCUGCAGCAAUAAUAUAGAGCUCACUAACUUGAUACGCAUAAAGUUGGUUUUGAAGCAAAAUGCUAUCACACAGAAUCGUGGUGAAAAUCAUUGACAUGACAAGGUCAUAGUCGUGCUAAAAAUCAUGGUUACAAUUAUGAUUGACGUCAUGAUCUUGAAGAAAUCAUUAUCAACCUUAUAAUGAUAGUAUACAUCUGGAUAUCUUAGAUACAUGAUGCGUAAACAGUUGAUUUAAUUGGUUAUAAAGAUAUCUAUCCCUGUUAAGAUUACUAUUAAAUUUUAUUAGCUUUUAUAUUCCUAUCUAUUUUAUUUUUUAUGACGAUGCCUAACAUAUUUUACUCUUGAAAGGAUAUAGAUACUCAAAGGGGAUUGCAUCAUAAAGAAAUGUGUUUAGCUGGCAGUAUAACUACACUAACUAUCCUUUGAAAUAAUAAAUAUUUUAUGAGUUUGUAAUCAUUUGAAGCUAAGAUAAGUGCCAUCUUAGGUCCUGUUGAGAUCUAGUUGAAGACUCUAGAACAUUCACGUUCAUAUUACCAAGUUAUAACAAAAUUACAUAUCUAUAAUGCUCUGUAUUCACUAACAGUAGAAGAAAUCUUUUGAGUUUCAAAUAUAUUCGCAGUAAUGAAUUUCAUAUAGAGAAAAUAAAUGAGAAUAAUACAGAAUGUCUCUAUAUUACUUCUAGUGUCUUAGGUAAAAAUGUAUAUUGGAAAAGCUUUCUACUUUUUGAUCUGACUUAUAUUCAUACAACGAUAAAACUAGUUGGGAGCUACACAAUCAUGAACCAAAGACUUUGUGAUUCAAAAGUUUUUAUAUCUCAGUCACCUAGGUCAACUAUGAUGAGUAGAAUUAUCGAGAAUUCUUAUGGACAUCAUUUAAAGAAUCUAAAGAUUAUUCUCUCCAAUGAGUAUAGUUGCACUACUUGUUCCUAGGGUAAAUUAAUUAGCACUUAGACCAUCACAUUCGAAGAUUGGUCUUGAAUCUCUAUUGUUCCUACAAAUAAUUCAGGCAUAUAUAUGUGGACUUAUUAGCCCAUCUAGUGGUCUAUUUCAUUAUUUUAUGGUCUUGAUUGAUGCAUUUGACAGUAGUCAUAUGUUUAUUUAUUAUCUAUAUACAACAUUGUAUUUACUAGAUUGCUUGCACAAGUUAUUAAGUUACCUGCACAAUUUUAAGAUUAUCUAGACAAUGCUAGUAAGUUUACGUCUAAAGUUAUUGGUGAUACUACAGUUCUUUGGGAUUGAUAUAGAGCACCCAAUAUCACAUAUUCAUACUUAGAAGGGAUUGGUAGAAUCCUUCAUCAAACUGCUUUAGCUGAUUAUAGGAACUUUAUUGUUUCAUACUCAAUUACCUAUUUUUGCAUAUGGACAUACUAUUUUGCAUGCUAUGGUACUAAUACCUAGAGGCAUACUGCCUAUCACCAAUAUUCCUCAUUGCAAUUAGUACAUGGCAUCAACCUAAUAUAUCUCAUUUGUGCACUUUUGGCUAUAUUGUGCAAGUUCUUGCGACACCCCCCUAGUGUACUGAAAUAAGACUUCAACGAUAUUUUGAAUUUUAUGUGCAUUUUGACUAUCUAUUAUCAAAUGUCUUGAACCUAUUACCAAUAAUUUUUUUACCGCAUGCUUUUAUGAAUUUCCAUUUUAAUGAGAUAAAAUUUCCUUUGUUGGAGAAAAAAAAAAAAGCCACCAUAUGCUGGGAAUGAGCUUUUAUAAUAAGUGACAAAAUUGUCUCCUCUAGAUUACCACACCACUCAAAGUGAAAAUGAAAUGUGGUGAAUAAUUCUCUUACAAAAAAUUAUAAAUCGCUUGUUAGUUGUAUUUACAAAUGUAUCGAAAGUAAUCAAGUCAUAUGUACUGGUUGCAAAUGUACUUGGCCAAUUAGUUGCUCCUAAUUUUAAUAAAUAAAAAAAACUAUUUGAAUCGUCUAUGGCACGCCUUAAGUAUUGUAGACCCAUUGGCUCAAAGGACAACAUUCUGCUGAAAAGAAAAAUAAAAAGUUAGGAUCUGUUAUCAUGAAUGAUCAGGCUCUAAGUGAAAGUGGUCCUUCAAAGCAAAAGGUCCUUGAUGAGAACUAUGUGCCUACAGUAACACUACCUCCUAAAGAGACAAUUACCUUAAAUAUGGCCAAGCACUUGAUGUGGCUUAGUGAUGGUUGUCGAAGCCAACAAAAAUAAAUUCUUACUCUAAAUAAAUUAUGUAUAGUGAUUGAGCAGGGUCGUGUCCAUAGAGAUCGGUAAUUAUUUAAAUCAUUUUGAAACGUAAAACAUAAAAUGGGGGUUUUGUUGACAAUAAUAAAAAUCAAAUUAAAAUAACAAGAAUGCAAAUUAAAGUUGUAAUUCAAAUUGGAGAAAGCUCUGGUUGAAAGAAUUAACUCAGCUUGAUUCGACUACUGAUCAUUGAUUCAAAUAUAGAUUAUUAUUACUUAUGAAUAGACCGGUUAUAGCAAUUGAGACCCUCUAAUAGCCAAUCUCUCCUUAACUAGUCGAUAACCAAGGUACGACCGUUGGAUAUUUCCCUAAUCAAUAGACAACCCUAGAUACGAUCAUAGGAUUUAAUCAAUUGACAGCCUGAAAAACCAGAGAGACCCAAAUCCUAAUCAACACAUAUGAUGAUUCAUUUAAAUUAGAUUGUUUAUUCUCACAACACAACUCUCUGCUAUUUAUUUGUCACAAACAUUAAAUUCUUCAUACGAUGAAUCCUUUAAUUAACAAUAGAUUAAGUUGAUAAUUAAAUAGUGGCCAAUUAUCUAAUUAACAAACAUAAUCAUGAAAAUAAUUCAGAGAAUAAACAAAUACCCAAAAAGUAAUAAAACAAUUAAAGCACAAGAAAGAUCUCACAGUAGUGAUGAAUCAAAGCUUCAUUAUCCUUCAACCAGAAAAAUAGGUUUAGUUCUUCAUAGAGAGAAGAGAAAAAUUAAGAUCUAGGGUUUCUUUCUUUUUUUCCAAUCCAAAUCCUUCACAAUAGAUUCCUCCCUUAAAUACUCUCUCUCUCUUCUCUUUUAGAAUUCUAUUUAAAAUAAAAUACUAAUAUCUGAAAUAUUAAAUUCGUAAUUACAAAAAUAACCAAAAAUACAAAACACGUUAAACUAAAAACUACAGGUCCGCAGUUGACAGCACGCGCCCACGCCUUAUCAACAAAGUUCUUCUGACGCUCAUAAUUUCUCCAAGAGAACAAUCAUCCUUAAACAUCAUCUUAUAGCUCAAUUUUAUCACCAAUCAAUAGAAUUGCACCUACAAAAGUAAAACACAAGUAAAUCACUAUUAUUAAGUGCAAAACAUCGAUAUUAAGAGAAGUAAACAAUGCAAAACUAGUGCAUAAAUUUCACUCUAACACUUAGAAUGAAGAAAAUACACAAAUUUUGCUCACAAAAAAAGGUGUGGAAUCUUAAAGAAACAAUCAUCGAUGAUAAUUUGCGUUUAUAGUAGCCACUGGUUUAAUAAAUGAUGAUAUUGAACUGUAAUCCAUUGAUAUGUAGAUUGAGACAUGAUUGGCCUGCAUAGGAAGAAGCAAUCCAUAUGAAGUUGGCUUCUUUGGCAAAAUGAUUAUUUUUUAAUGUAACCUAAAUACCUACUUGUAUUAAAUCUGUUGGAUAUAAAUAGAUAUUUUUUAAGAAAUGUAACUAAAAGAAUAAGGUCGUUAUAUAUAAAGCACGACUCAUUGCACAAGGUUUUUUUAUAGAGACUAGGUAUUGACUAUGGGAUACCUAUUUAUUGGUAGUGCAUAUAGUUACAUUCCAAUUCUUCUAUUUGAGAGGCUUGAUACGCAUUUAAUAGAUAAGUGAUAGGUUUUUGUGUGUAUGAAAACUCCUAAAGGAUUCAAAAUGCUUAAAGCAUUGUAGUCACCACAUUGUAGCUUGUAUUCUACAAAGCUAUAGAAAUCUUUAUAUGAAUUGAAACAAUCUUGACAUAUCUGAUAAAGUUUCCUUAGUGACUACAUGAUCAAGGAAAGAUACAUGAAUGAUCUUAUUUGUCUUCGUGUAUCUAUAAACAAGCUAAAAUCUAGAUUUGCUAUUGCAGUAGUCUAUGUUGAUAAUAUGAAUUUGAUUGGAACUCUCAAAGAUGUCCAAAAGCCUACUGAUUAUUUAAAAAAGAGAGUUUAAAAUGAAAAAUUUUGGGAAAACUAGAUACUAUGUAAAGUUAUAGAUCGAGCACAAAUCUAAAAAUAUCUUUAUUUUUUAGUCAAAUUAUUAUGAAAAGAUAUUAAAAUGUUUUAAUAUGGACAAAACUUCUCUAUCAAUUACCCCAAUGGUAGUUUCAUCUCUUGAUCUUAAAAAGAUUCAUUUAAUCCUAAAGAGGAUGAUGACCAAGUGCUUGCUUCAUCAAAUACCAUAAGUUGAAUGCCCGUUGGUGCUUUAAUGUAUUUAGCCCAAUGUACUAUAGCUGUGUUCAAUAACUUGUUAGCAAGGUUUAAAUCUUGAAUUGAGCUAGACGACAUUGGAAUGGUGUUAAACAUCUUUUUCAUGAUCCUCUUGGAAUUAUCAAUUUCAGUUUAUUUUAUUCUAGUAAAUUAACCAAAAAUCUAAGUCUUAUUAGUUUUGCAGAUAUCCUCAUAAAGCUUGUUCUUAGAGGGGUUAUGUUUUUACUUAUACUAAAUAUUGAUUUCUUAAAAAUAUGUGAAGUUGACUCUUGUACUUGCAUUUUCCAAUCGCUUUGAGAUCCUUGUAUUGCAUGAAGCAAGUAGAGAAUACUUAUGGUUGCGGUCCAUUAUGCAUCAUAUCCAGGAUGCUGAUAAAUUAUCUUCAAGUGCAGACAUCCAAACGGUAAUAUAUGAAAAUAAUGUUUCUUGUAUAGCUCAAUUCAAGAGAGCAUAUAUCAAAGGAGAUUGAAAAAGCUUACCUCACCAAAGUUCUUCAAUACUCAUGAGCUCCAACAAAAUAAGACGAUCGAUAUCAAGCAGAUACAUUACACAAAUAAUUUUACAUAUAUGUUUAUUGAAGCUCUAUGCAUAUCAACAUUUUAGAAAAUAGUAUAUGGCAUCAGAAUGUGCCAUUUAAACAGAAUAUCGAGACGAUCAUUAGUUGAAUGCUCAUCAGGAGAAGAAAAAAUUUACCAAAGAAGAAUUUCAAUAAUUAAAUUGGAUACAUCUGCACGAUACUCGUUUUUUUCCCUUUGAAUAGAUUUUUCUACAAGAUUUUAGUGGCAAAGGUUUUUAAUUAGAUAAUUUAAACCACAUGCAGCCCACUUUAUCGUUCGCUAAAUUAUAUUUCUUUUGGUUGAGCUUUUUUUCUAUUGAGUUUUUCCAUAACAAAAGUCAAAUACAAUUAUCGUGAAGUGGUGGAUACCAAAGUGGGGGUGUUAUGGAAAUUAGUGAUUUAAAAAACAACUCAAGAGAUUUGACGGCUAAAGAGCUAAACAAGUCAAUCAAUUGUGGGUAUUAAGGUCACGAUGUGUCCUAAGGCUUGGCUGUGUUUUAAUUAGCUGAUGGAUUCCCUGAAUAGAGAGCACUACUCAUUGUAAUUUGUAUCCGAAGGCUUGGCUGUGUUUUAAUCGGUUGAUGGAUCCUAUAAAUAGGGAGCACUGCUCUUUGUAAUUUGUAUCUGAAAUUGAAAGCCUUAUCAAUUACAAUAAUAUCAUCUUUCUUUAUAUCAUCUAUUUAUCUAUUUAUACGUCUUACCUAUAUUCUCAAUAAUUAUAUUAUAAUUGAUAUUUUUAUUGUUUAUUGUGCACUGAAUAAUUCUUUUUUUAACCUUUGCUUACUAAUAGAAUUCUUCUUUUUUUUUUAAUAUUCUCUUUAGCGUAUGAAAUUGAUACAAUUUAUUUUUUUCGAUUUUAGUACUUUUUUCGUUCAACUACUUAGGAAUUGUUUGGUAAUGAGAUGAUGUGGUUUUUAAUAUACAGUUGUUGGGAUAAAAGCUAAAUUUGUCAAAGAAAAGCUUAUAGAUUAUGGUAAAUAAUAAAUUUUGUAUUAAUUUUUAUAUUUAACAAUUAUUACAAAAAUUAUGAAAUAAGAAAAAAACCACCAGCUAGGCAGUGGAGCCACAACGUAGUGUGUUUUACCAAACACCCAAACAGAUCCCUAACUAGGGUGUUUAAAUGUCUACAAUUAAGAUUAGUUUAGAAAAUAAGGUCCUAUUUAGUAUUGAGGGGCUAUCUACAGCUAAUGUCGAACAAAAUUGUAACUAUGAAAUAAAAGUUAACAAUAUAUAGUAAAUAUAAUUUUUAAACAAUAAUUUUGAUAAAAUUAAUAAAGGCAUAAUAUUUUUUUUUCAUCUUAUAUGUAUAAAAUCAAAUAAACUUAACUUCUAAACUACAACAACUAAUAUUUACCAAACACUUUAAUGUUGUAUCUUAAAAUCUAUAACUAUCCAACCUCAAUUUUAAAUAGGGCCCAAGUAUGGGUAAUGCGUGGGAUUUAGCAUCUCACAACUUACCUAGCGUGUUAUUAGUGAAAUUACAUUUACAAUAUUUUUAGCCCACUUACGUAGAUGGAUCAACUGGCUGUUAACAUGUUCUCCACCAUGGUCACCAGAGUUCAAGAAAAGGAUUUAUACUGUUUAGUAGGUGAAGUUUCACAUUUCCAUCCAAAUAUUUUAUUAAAAAAUAAAUCAAGAGUAUUCAUUGUGAAAAAGAAGUUUUUGUCCAAACAUUAAAAGGAUCUUCCAAAUUAAUGUAAAACAUAGAGCACAAACGAGUUAAUACUCAUUUAUAUAUCAAGUUAAACGGGUUAAUUUUGUGUUAAUUGUGUUAUAGAUAGGCAAGAGUAAGAGACACAAACAAGAUCAAAAGGAUUAUCUUAGAUGGAAAAUUCUAUAAUACCAUAACAAAAAUUACGGUAUUAAUGCCGUAGUUAUUUUAUACUGUUGGAUGAGAUCAACGAUGUACAAUAAUUAAAAUAUAAUAAAAAAUGUAAAUUUUUUUUCUUUAACCGGUUUACAACUGGUUAUUUAUUUAUAAAAAAAUAAAUUUAACUGGCUAAAACAGUGGGGAAAAAGAAGCGGUUUUUGUUUGCCUCCAAUACUCUUUUCCUGCUGAUAAUUUAGCAAAAACAGAGGCAAAAAAAAGCAAAAAAGAAGAAGCCCUACAACGACGUCGUUGAGGAGAAUCGAGCUGAGUCCUUGAUCGUGAAGCGGUUUUCAGUCGACGAUAACGACCCGAAGUCGGCGAUUGAUACCGUAAUCGGCGCCAGCGAUUAAUAACCAUAUAAUCCUCUGCUGCCCUUAAUCUUGUUGAGGGGAAGAGAACCACGGCAAAUUACUAAUAAAAAUAAGGCAAGUUGCAGGCCACUGAUUCUCCUCUACCACAUUCGCAUUGUCGUUAAUUUCAACAUGUGUUUUUUUUUUUUACAAUUUAUUUGACCAAGACACACAAAUAUAUAUAGAGAGAGAGAGCAUGCACUAGACUUUGAUAUGAUUUUUUCUUGUUAUUACAAGUAUUACUUGAAUACAAGUAAUAUGUCCUGUUCUGAAAACACAUAUUGUCGAAUUAUGUAAUGUUCAUUUGGUUCGUAUCUUAUAAUUUCUCUAGUUUAUUCAAUCUGAUUUGCUGACACUUAUGCCCAAUAGCCCUAGUUUCCUUUUUUACAAAUCCACUUAGAAAAAUUUCUUUGUUAGUGGUUCUAUUUUUAUUUAUUUAUUUUUGAGUGAUUUGCCAAUGUGUUAAAAUUGUGCUUGGAUCCUACAUAUUGGUAGUUAACGUUGAUGCUUUGAUGGAAUUUCUAAUAGAGUGAGUAAAUUUUGUUGAAAUUUCUAAGUAGAGUCUUCAAGUUAUUUGUUGAAAUGCCUGAGAGAAACAAUGUGUUUGUAUAUGUUCUAUUAUUCAAAUAUGAGGUAUGAAAAUGAAAAUAAAAAUUUUGCGUUUGGGUUAAUUUUCUAUUGUAUUUGGAAUGAUUUGCUGUUGUUUUUUAGUAAAAUUUUUCUAGUGUUUUGGGUUUCAUUUGCUGCAGUUUUUAGGUUAAAUUUUCUACUAUUUCUGGGCCAAUUGGCUGUUGUUUUUCAGUUUAAUUUUCUACUAUUUUUAGAUAAAUUUACUGCUGUUUUUGCGUUAUAUUUUCUGCUGUUUUCAAGUAAAUUUUUCGGUGUUUCGAGCUUCAUUUGCUGUUGCUUUAGGUUAAAUUUUCUACUGUUCCUGGGUCAAUUGGCUGCUGUUUUCAGUUUAAUUUUUUGCUGUUUUUAGAUAAAUUUACUACUAUUUUUGGGUUAUAUUUUCUGUUGUUUCUUGGUAAAUUUUUUCUAGUGUUUUGGGCUUCAUUUGCUACUGCUUUUAGAUUAAAUUUUUUGUUGUUUCUGGGUCAAUUGGCUGCUUUUUUCAGUUUAAUUUUUUACUCUUUUUAGAUAAAUUUACUACUAUUUUUGGGUUAUAUUUUCUGUUGUUUUUAGAUAAAUUUACUAUUGUUUUUGGGCUUCAUUUGUUGCUGCUUUUGGGUUAAAUUUUUUGCUAUUUCUGAGUCAAUUGGCUGUUGUUUUUUAGUUUAAUUUUUUACUCUUUUUAGAUAAAUUUACUACUGUUUUUGGGUUAUAUUUUCUGUUGUUAUUAGAUAAAUUUUUUGCUGUUUUUGGGUUUAAUUUGUUGUUACUUUUGGGUUAAAUUUUUUGCUAUUUCUGAGUAAAUUUGCUAUUGUUUUUCAGUUAAAUUUUCUGUUGUUUUUGGAUAAAUUUACUGCUGUUUCCAGAUAAUUUUUUUGCUGUUUUGGGCUUCAUUUACUGUUGUUUUUAGGUUAAAUUUGUUGCUGCUUCUGGGGUAAAUUUGCUGCUGUUUUUCAAUUAAAUUUUUUGUUGUUUUUAGAUUAAAUUUUUUUCGUAUAUUGGGCUUCAUUUGCUGCUAUUUUGUGUUAAAUUUUUUUUUGUUCUAGGUAAAUUUAUUACUUUUUUUAGUUAAAUUUUUUGUUGUUUUUGGAUAAAUUUACUACUAUUUUUUGGGUUAGAUUUUUUGCUGUUUUCUGGUAAAUUUGCUGUUGUUUUGUGCACAGAGCUGGUCGAAAAAUGGUCAUGAUGCAUUUUGAAUGCAGAAUGAUGGAGACUGGUAGUAAAAGUUGCUUGUGUUGUUUUUGCUGCUACUUGCUCCAUUUGAGCUUCUAGAAAUUGUUAAGGGUAGCGGGGAAGAAGAAAGAGAUGAUGAGAAAUGCAAAUUGUUUGUGAGCUUUAGAUUGAUGUACCAAGCCAAUAGUUAUAUUGCAAAAUAUCUGUUUUUUUUUUAGUUUGUUAAUUUUUAUUUUUUUGGAUUAUAACUAAUGCUGUAAAUAGUUAUUGUUUGUCACCGUUCUAGAAGCAAAUACUAGUCUAACUUUCUAGGAAAGGUGUUCCUAAUUCUUGGUUGGGUGAUUGAAUUUUGUAUUGAAAUGUUUAUUUCUAAAAUAUUUUUAGAGGAUCCAAAACUUGUGAUAUUUGACAUUUCUUUUUGUGCUUAAUAUCUUCAUGUACAGGUUCUUGUAAACUUGAAAAUGGCAGAAAAUGUAAAAUGAGAAUGAUUUCAAGGAGAAUGAUAAUGUGAACCAAGAAAAUGAAAUUUUAAGAAAAAAUCGGCCUUUCAUUGAGCAUAUUUGCACCUCGGAUUAUGAUGAAUGGUUGCACGGCCUACGUGCUAGCAGAUUUAGAUGCGGAUUUGGCGAAUAUUGGCUUUGCAUGUUUGGAGAAUUGAGAGAGAGAGAUUCAUAUUUGGGGAAUGACGAAUAGGGACUAUGUUUUAAUUUUUCACUUUGUCGUUCUUGUCUUCUAUGGUGCCAUUGAGACUUGAGAGCUGAGCCUUUUUUUUACCGCUUUCACUUAAAAAGGAAAAUGAAUAUUAUAAGGAAACGACGUAGUUUUAGUGAAUUUUAAAUGUUAUAAUUUUUUGUUGUUGUUUAUAUCUUAAUUAUAUAACAUUAUUUUUUAAAAUAAGUUAAAGAUAAAAUUUAUAACAUUUAUAUAUAUACCUAAAAUAUAUAUAGAACCACUUAUGUUAUGAUUUGUUUUUGGGUUCAGAUUUAUCAUUUUUAGUUAAAUUUUAAAUUUAUGAUUUUAUACCUAAUUUUUCAUUCGGGAAAGGGACAUGGUCGAUUUUUAUAAACUAAUUUAAAGAAAAAUGAUAGGUUUAUGAUUUUAUUAAUAUAUUAUAAUUAAUAAUAAUAAUAAUUUUUUAAUAAAUAAUCACUAUAAUUAAAAUAUAAAAUAAUAAUUAUGAUAAUAAUUCAUUAAGUACAUAUAUUACAUGCAAGGAAGACUAGGCUCGACUUUUAGUCUAAUUAACUUGACCUGAAUUUUUUGGCCUUUGACUCGAAUUUAAUGGUUAGGCUUGGGUCUAAAUAUUAGAGCCCAAUUAAAUUCAUAUCAGGGUUAGGGACCUAUAUGCCCGACCCGACCUGAUCUGACCUAACCAUAAAACCUAAAAAAAAUGUAAUAAUAUGAUUACGGCCCUGAAUAAUCUUUAUUUUUAUGUUACUUCAAACAAUUUCUAAAGCUUUUAUAUUUUACUGUAUAUGGGGAGGCUAUGUCCAAUUUUUAAAUUUUAAAUUAACUAAAAAUUAAAAAAAAAACUUUAAAAGAAAGUUUGAUCAGGCCCACGCUUUCAAAUAAUAGGGCCUUUUUGGGCUCGAAAAUUUUAUUUCAGCUAUAGAGUCAGGCUCAGAAAUGGCUAAGCACAGGCCUAACUCGACCCACUGCCAUCCUUUCGAAUAGACUAUUGAUCCAUUAUGAACUCAUCAAUUAAAUUCAUGAUCAUAGUAAAUGUGUUACUAUCAUUCUUUUGUUUGCAAGAACAACUUGUAAACAAAAUAAAAAUUUAGUAAAAUGACACAGAAUUUGUAAAUUGACAUUAAGUGUAAAAUAAAAUAAAAAAUUUGUAAAGCACACAUAAAACUAGUAAAUUGAUGGAAAAUUGGGUAAAUUAAUGUUCGAAUUGUAAAUUGCAAGAAAAACUUGUAAAUAAAAUAAAAAUUUAGAAAAAUGACAUAAAACUUGUAAAUUAACAUUAAAUAUAAAAUGAAACAAUAAAUUUGUAAACCACACAUAAAACAAGUAAAUUUAAGGAAAAAUGGGUAAAUUAAUGUUGAAGUUGUAAUUUGCAAGAAGAACUUGUAAGCAAAAUAAAAAUUUAGAAAAAUAACAUAAAACUUGUAAAUUGAUAUUAUGUGUGAAAUAAAACAAAAAAUUUGUAAACCACACAUAAAACUAGUAAAUUGAUGAGAAAAUGGGUAAGUUAAUAUUUGAGUUGUAAAUUGCAAGAAGAACUUAUAAACAAAACAAAACCUUAGAAAAAUGACAUAGAACUUGUAAAUUGACAUUACGUGUGAAAUGAAACAAAAAAUUUAUAAAUCACGCCUAAAACUAGUAAAUUGAUGGAAAAAGAGGUAAAUUAAUAAUGGUGUUGUAAAUUGCAGGAAAAACUUGUAAACAAAACAAAAACUUAGAAAAAUGAUAUAAAACUUAUAAAUUGACAUUAAGUGUGAAAUGAAACAAAAUAUUUGUAAAUCACAUAUCAAAAUAUUUGUAAAUCACAUAUCAAAAUAUUUGUAAAUCACAUAUAAAACUAGUAAAUUGAUGGAAAAAAAGUUAAAUUAAUGAUGGAGUUGUAAAUUAGAAGAAAAAAGUGUAAACAAAACAAAAAUUUAGAAAAAUGGCAUAAAACUUGUAAAUUGUCAUUAAGUGUGAAAUGAAACAAAAAACUUGUAAACCACAAAUAAAACUAGUAAAUUGAUGGAAAAAUAGGAAAAUUAAUGUUGGAGUUGUAAAUUGUAAGAAGUUGUAAACAAAACAAAACCUUAGAAAAAUGACAUACAACUUGAAAAUUGACAUUAAGUGUGAAAUGAAACAAAACAUUUGUAAAUGACAUAUCAAAAUAUUUGUAAAUCACACUUAAAAUUAGUAAAUUGAUGGAAAAAGAGGUAAAUUAAUGAUGAAGUUGUAAAUUAGAAGAAAAAAGUAUAAACAAAACAAAAACUUAGAAAAAUGAUAUAAAACUUCUAAAUUGACAUUAAGUGUGAAAUGAAACAAAAAAUUUACAAAUCACACCUAAAACUAGUAAAUUGAUGGAAAAAGAGAUAAAUUAAUGAUGGAGUUAUAAAUUGCAAGAACAACUUGUAAACAAAACAAAAACUUAGAAAAGUGACAUGGAACUUGUAAAUUGACAUUAAGUGUGAAAUAAAACAAAAAAAUUUGUAAAUCACAUUUAAAUUUAGUAAAUUGAUGAAAAAGAGGUAAAUUAAUGAUGAAGUUGUAAAUUAGAAGAAAAAAGUAUAAACAAAACAAAAACUUAGAAAAAUGAUAUAAAACUUGUAAUUGACAUUAAGUGUGAAAUGAAACAAAAAAUUUGUAAACUACAUAUAAAACUAGUAAAUUGAUGGAAAAAUAGGUAAAUUAAUGUUGGAGUUGUAAAUUGGAAGAAGAACUUAUAAACCAAACAAAACCUAAAAAAAUGACAGAACUUGUAAAUUUACAUUAAGUGUGAAAUGAAACAAAAAAUUUGUAAACCACACAUAAAACUAGUAAAUUGAUGGGAAAAAAGGUAAAUUAAUUUUGGAGUUGUAAAUUACAAGAAGAACUUGUAAACAACACAAAAACUUUGAAAAAUGACAUAGAACUUGUACAUUGACAUUAAGUGUGAAAUGAACCAAAAAAAUGUGUAAAUCACACAUAACACUAGUAAAUUGAUGGGAAAAGGAGUAAAUUAAUGUUGGAAUUGUAAAUUGCAAGACAAACUUGUAAACAAAACAAAAAUUUAGAAAAAUGGUAUAAAACUUAUAACUUGACAUUAAGUGUAAAAUGAAAUAACAAAUUUGUAAACCACAUAUAAAACUAGUAAAUUUAUGGAAAAUGGGGUAAAUUUAUGUUGGAGUUGUUAUUUGCAAGAACAACUUGUAAACAAAACAAAAACUUAGAAAAAUAACAUAAAACUUGUAAAUUGACAUUAUGUGUGAAAUAAAAUAAAAAAUUUGUAAACCACACAUAAAACUAGUAAAUUGAUGGAAAAAUUGGUAAGUUAAUAUUUGAGUUGUAAAUUGCAAGAAGAACUUGUAAAUAAAACAAAACCUUCGAAAAAUGAAAUAGAACUUGUAAAUUGACAUUAAGUAUGAAAUGAAACAAAAAAAAUUGUAAAUCAUGCAUAAAACUAGUAAAUUGAUGAAAAAAAAGGUAAAUUAAUGAUGGAGUUGUAAAUUAGAAGAAAAAAGUGUAAACAAAACAAAAAUUUUUAAAUAUGACAUAAAACUUGUAAAUUGACAUUAAGUGUGAAAUGACACAAAAUAUUUGUAAACCACACCUAAAACUAGUAAAUUGAUGGAAAAAAUGAGUAAAUUAAUGUUGGAGUUAUAUUUUGCAAGAAGAACUUGUAAACAAAACUAAAACUUAGAAAAAUCACAUAAAACUUGUAAAUUGAUAUUAUGUGUGAAAUAAAAAAAAUAUUUGUAAACCACACAUAAAACUAGUAAAUUGAUGAGAAAUGGGUAAGUUAAUAUUUGAGUCGUAAAUUGCAAGAAGAACUUGUAAACAAAACAAAAGCCUUAGAAAAAAAUGACAUAGAACUUGUAAAUUGACAUUUAGUAUGAAAUGAAACAAAAAAAUUUUUAAAUCACACUUAAAACUAGUAAAUUGAUUAAAAAAGAGGUAAAUUAAUUGUUGAGCUGUAGAUUGUAAGAACAACUUGUAAACAAAACAAAAACUUAGAAAAAUGACAUGGAACUUGUAAAUUGACAUUAAGUGUGAAAUAAAACAAAAAAUUUGUAAACCACAAAUAAAACUAGUAAAUUGAUAGAAAAAUGGGUAAGUUAAUAAUUGAGUUGUAAAUUGCAAGAAGAACUUGUAAACAAAACAAAACUUUCGAAAAAUAAAAUAGAACUUGUAAAUUGACAUUAAGUAUGAAAUGAAACAAAAAAUUUGUAAAUUAACAUUAAGUAUGAAAUGAAACAAAAAAUUUGUAAAUCACAUCUAAAACUAGUAAAUUGAUAGAAAAAGAGGUAAAUUAAUAAUGGAGUUGUAAAUUGCAAGAAGAACUUGUAAAAAAACAAAAACUUAGAAAAAUAACAUAAAACUUGUAAACUGGCAUUAUGUGUGAAAUGAAACAAAAUAUUUACAAAUCACACAUAAAACUAGUAAAUUUAUGGAAAAAGAGGUAAAUUGAAAUUGUAAAUUAGAAGAAAAAGGUGUAAACAAAACAAAAAUUUUUAAAAAUGACAUAAAACUUGUAAAUUGAGAUUAAGUGUGAAAUGAAACAAAAUAUUUGUAGACUACACCUAAAACUAGUAAAUUGAUGAAAAAAUGGGUAAAUUAAUGUUGGAGUUGUAAUUUGCAAGAAGAACUUGUAAACAAAACAAAAACUUAGAAAAAUAACAUAAAACUUGUAAAUUGACAUUAUGUGUGAAAUAAAAUAAAAAAUUUGUAAACCACACAUAAAACUAGUAAAUUGAUGGAAAAAUGGGUAAGUUAAUAUUUGAGUUGUAAAUUGAAAGAAGAACUUGUAAACAAACCAAAACCUUAGAAAAAUGACAUAGAACUUGUAAAUUGACAUUAAGUGUGAAAUGAAACAAAAAAUUUGUAAGUCACACAUAAAACUAAUAAAUUGAUGGAAAAAUAGAUAAAUUAAUGUUAGAGUUGUAAAAUACAAGAGGAACUUGUAAACAAAAUAAAAAUUUAGAAAAAUGAUAUAGAACUUGUACUUUGACAUUAAGUGUGAAAUGAACUAAAAAAUAUGUAAAUCAUGAUUAAAACUAAUAAAUUGAUGGAAAUGAUCCCUGGGUUAGCUCAUUUAAUUGACUGCACCACUACUGGAUUAAUAAGCUAGACAACUAGCUAUUUGGGUCAAAAACCUAAAUAUAUCAUUUAGUGGGAGGCUCCAUUUAAUUAGCUUAUGUGUAAAGGGCCUUAUGUUAUUUUACAAGGUGGGUCCCCUAUAGAAAAAGCAAGUAACGUGAGUUUUGAUUUUCAUUAUUUGGAGUCUAGGGUUUUCACUAAAGGGAGAUAUAAAAAAGCUUAUUUUCUCUAAAGAAAAAAGAGCAGCUCCUUUAUACAAAGAAGAGAAAAAGAUUUUUCUCUUAGUUAUUGAGAGAAAAAUUUUCUCGUGCUAGUUGCUUUGAUAGUGAUAAAGGCGUCCACACGUCAAGUGCAGAUCGACCCUGAGUCAUAACCUGGAAGAUCAUUGUGACAGUUCGUGAUCUAACAAGCGUAGUGGUGACGGAUCGUGAUCUAACAGGAGUGGUGGUGACAGAUCGUGAUCUGGGAGCCUAAAUCACUUCAAUAGAAAAAAGCCAAAUCGAAUUUUCAAGGUAUGAUUUCUAGAUUACAAAUUCUUAUAUAUGGUAGGAGAGCUAUCUUAAAAGGUUUUAUAAAAAUUUAAAAAUUAUAUUUUUCUCCAACAAUUGGUAUCAGAGCCAUCUCAUAUUAAUAUAUAAGAAUAUUGUAUGAAAUCAAUCUUGAAAUUUAUAUAUUAGAGUGGCACAAUUUAUUCAAAUAUAUAUUAUUAUUUUAAUAUAUGAAUAAAGCAUGUUUUUAGUUUGUCUUAAUUCAUGGUUAGAUUUUACGCUGUAUUUUUUCUUCGGAUCUGUAACAAGAGGGGUGACUUUUCAUCACAAUGUUUCCCUCUUGAUUUAUUUUACUGUUAUAGAAUUUUUGUAAGCCAAAAUUGGCCUAGGAAAUUUGUAAAUCAAUCAUGGAUGUCAGAUCAUCGGAAACGAAGGCCGGAUAUUUUGACAGCAGCAACAAACCAGCACGUGCGGCCAGCAAUGGCCAGCGGCACGCACUGCACGUGCUGCAGCUGCAAGCAAUGCUGCCAGCAGCGUGCAGCUCCUGGGUUCCGUCAUUUGGUGGCUUUCCGGCGUAGUGGCAAUGGUUAAAUCAGCGUCGAACUUGGAUGAACAGUGACUGGCUUUGUGGUGAUGGCGGAUGGGGAGAGUAAAAGAUGGAUUCAGGGUUUCAAUGGUUUUUAUCAUUCAGAUCCCUAUGGCUCCAUAUUUUUUUUCUUUUUGGGUAGACACGUUUAAAUUUUUGCAGUUAAGUCCAAAAACAGUAUUGGGCUUAAUGAAUCAUAGUUUAUGCUCAAUUUCAAUUGGGCUUAAUGGAUUAAAAUGCAUAGAUAAAAUUGAACACAUUAAGACGGAAGGGUGGAAACAUUUAAAGCAAGAUUAGUAGCCAAAGGGUUUACUCAGAAAGAGGGAAUCGAUUAUGAGGAAACUUUUUCUCCGGUUGCUAUGCUUAAAUCCAUCAGGAUUCUGCUCUCCAUUACUGCAGUGCUAGAUUAUGAAAUUUGGCAAAUGGAUGUCAAGACUGCCUUUCUUAACGGGUAUCUUGAAGAAAACAUCUACAUGCAGCAACCAGAUGGAUUUAUACAAAAAGGCCAUAAACACAUGGUAUGUAAGUUGCAGAGAUCCAUUUAUGGAUUGAAGCAAGCAUCCCGGUCAUGGAACAUCAGAUUCGAUCAAGUGAUUAAAUCGUUUGGAUUCAUUCAGAACAUUGAUGAACCAUGUGUGUACAAGAAAAUUCAAGAAAAAUCUGUAGCCUUCCUAAUUCUUUAUGUAGAUGAUAUUCUCCUAAUUGGAAACGAUAUAGGAGUAUUGACUACAAUAAAGAGUUGGUUAGCAAAACAAUUUGAUAUGAAAGACCUGGGAGAGGCAAGUUAUAUUCUUGGUAUCAAGUUACUACGAGACCGAAAGAAUAAAACUUUAGCCUUGUCUCAAGCGGUCUACAUCGAUAAGAUAUUGGCUAGAUUUAGCAUGGAAAAUUCCAAGACUGGUUUAUUACCAUUCAGACAUGGAAUUACAUUCUCUAAUGAUCAAUCACCUAAAACAUCUGAAGAGAUAGAGAGAAUGAGACGAGUUCCCUAUGCAGAAGCUGUGGGAAGUCUCAUGUAUGCCAUGCUUUGCACUAGGCCAGACAUCUGUUUUGCGGUAGGGAUGGUUAGUAGAUAUCAAUCUAAUCCUGGACCUGAACACUGGACUGCGGUCAAGCAUAUAAUGAAGUAUCUGAAAAGAACUAAAAAUUAUAUGCUUGUGUAUUCUGGUAAUGAACUCAUUCCAGUGGGUUAUACUGAUUCUGACUUUAUGUCAGAUAAGGAUUCCAAAAAAUCAACUUCCGGCUAUGUGUUUACAUUGGGAAGUGGAGCUAUUAGUUGGAGGAGUGUGAAACAAUCUUAUAUCGCAGACUCCACAACUGAAGCUGAAUAUGUGGCUGCAUCCGAAGCUGCAAAAGAAGCUGUAUGGCUCCGCAAGUUCCUACAAGAUCUUGAGGUGGUACCUGCUGUAUCUGCACCCCUGAAACUAUUUUGCGAUAAUAGUGGUGCGGUAGCUCAAUCUAAGGAACCAAGGAACCACAAGAAACAAAAACAUAUUGAGAGUAAGUAUCAUCUUAUAAGGGAUAUAGUGCAAAGGGGUGAUGUGGAGGUUACUCAGAUUGCGUCACAGCAAAAUUUGGCAGAUCCUUUUACUAAGGCCAUACCUGGGAAACCUUUUAACUUGCACUUAGAAUCCAUGGGCAUGCGUGAGAUGCCAAAUAUGCUUUGAGAGCUAGUGGGAGAUUGUUGGGAAAAUAUGCUCUUUAAAAGCAUAUGUGUUUAUUUAAUUGUAAUAAAUAAUUUUUCUGAUUAAUAAAAUAGAUGAGGUAUUUUAUUCAAAUAUAUUAAUUGCAUUAAUAUUUAUAUUAAAGUCCAUUUAAUCAUAUUAUAUGUAUUUAUGUGAUCACCAUGUGGAUUCACAGAAGACAUAAAUACAAGUUAUCUUAUGAUUAAAUAAAUUUAGUUCGCAGUUGAUAAAUAAAGUUGGGCACUUUAUUUAGGUAUAGACUGUAAUAAAUUCAUUGAAUGAUUUGUCUUAAUCAUGUAUGAAUUUAUUGGUGUAGUACGACUACAUUGAACAUGAUCACAUAUGAGAUUUAAUUAACUUUGUAAUAACUGUCAGACUUAUUAAAUCUCAUAGGCGUUGAUUUUACUGUAAUCUUAAUCUUGAGUUAAUUAUGAUUUCAUGAUUGUAAUUGUUAUUCCAUUUGAGUUACCAAUGGGCACGACACAUCCUUGUGGUCAAGAUUACCCGGUAUCUUGGUGGGAGCAAUUAUGAGUAUUGGAGUUAUGGAUUAACAAUAUAGAAUUUGUACAACACAUCUCUUGAUGGGUUUCUGAACUAAACAGACCUCAAUUACAAAAAGAUUUCAACACCCAAGUGUCAAUAGGAUUCUGAACUAAACAGGCCUCAAUUACAAAAAGAUUUCCCAUACCUGAUUUCACAAUCUUAGGGUAAUCCUUUUUCCAGUGACCUUUCUGUCCACACUUAAAGCAUUUGCCUUUCGGCUUGCCAUCUUGCUUGGUAGACGGUUUCUUUUUCCCAGCUUUCUUCUUACCUUUGCCUUUCGGCUUAGGCCCAGAAGAUGAACUUUUUUCAGUAAUAUUUAUGCUUCCCAGAGAUUUCUCAGCACGAUAGAUCUCUUCAGCAGAAUGGAGUUCGUUCAUCAAUUCAGUUAAGGUCAUGUUUCUUUUGUUCAUGUUAUAAUUGACCUUAAACUCAUUGAAUGUUUCUGGUAGAGAUUCUAGCACCAUGUCAAUCUUUGAGUUAUCAUCGAUUUGUGCUCCCUGAAUCUCAGCCUCAUUCAAAUAGUCCAUCAUUUUGAGGACAUGAUCACGAAUUCUUGUGCCCUUCCCCAUUUUACUGUUCAUAAUUCCUUUCAGCGCUGCUUGUCUCGCUGAGCUAGUACUCUGCCCGAACAUCUGUUGGAGACUAUCCAUUAUUUCAGUGGCAGUCUCCAAGUUCUGAUGUUUGGUCUGCAGAAUAUUAGAAAUCGAGGCUAAAAUGUAGCACUUUGCCAUUUCAUUAGCCUUUUGCCAUUUCUCAUAAAGCCUCCUCUGAUUUCUAUGAGCAUCAUCCGCUGGAACUGGAGGGCAUGGCUGGGUUAAGACAUAUUUAUAAUUUUCAGCAGUCAGGACAAUGAAUAUAUUUCUUUUCCAAUCUAUAUAGUUCUCUCCAGUGAGUUUGUUUUGACUCAGAAUAAUAGUAAGUGGGCUCAGGGAAGACAUUUUUUGAAAAUAAAACAUCCAUGCAUAAAUAAUUUGAAAUAAUAUUCAUAAUAAAUGACAAAAAUGCAUAAAACCAUAAAUGCAUUUUAAUUUAUUGUAACGAUAAUCUAAUUCCGCUUUGACAAGCUAUCCGGUGGGAAAGUCAUGUCUAUACUUACUAGACCCAAUUACCCAUUGGAUUAUUUACUUUCAUGUAGAGACAUGAUAAAUAAUUAUCGUUAUCUUUUUGGGCCUAAAUUUGUUAACAGAGCUUCGUUGGAAAGGUUAAUAACAAAUUUUAGUUGAGUGUAUAACCAUUGUUUCAAUCUACGUAUUUUUCAUAUCAAUAGUCACCGUUGGGGUGAACAAUUGAUUGAAAAAUAUUUCAAUUUUAUCUUUGAAGAAGUUCAUCAAAUAAAAUAUCUAAUAUAUAUACCCUCCGAAGGGAGCAUCACUGUAUCAUGAAGUCGAGGUAUAUAUAUAAUUUUAUUAUUGAACUAACAAUGGAGCCCUUGGGAAAAUUAUCUUGAAUUUUCCCUCUCCCACUCAAUAUUUUAAAAUUGGUUUUUCCUUUUUAAAACAUACAUAUUGUUAAUUGCAUGCUUCCUAUAAUAUUAUCUAGAUGAUAUCAAAUAUUAUUAAGCAUACGCAAAUUUCAAAUAAUAUAAUGAAAUUCAUUAUUAAUGAAUGACAUGUAUCAUUAUGCAUAGAGUGGCACUACCUAUUCUAUAUGACAUGUUAUCAUGGCAUGUGAUCAUCCAAAACAUAACAUAUAGAAAAACAAUUAAAUAAUCUUAAUUCAUGGCUUUCCUAAUAAUGAAAAAUACAUUAACCCCAAGCCUAAUCUUCAUUGGGCUUCUUGUCAAUGUCCAUCUUCGAUAAACUUGUCUUUGUUAAUGGACUAGGGGAAAUUGGGCUUUUAAAUUUAUAAUUGGUCCAAUUUUAAUUUUAAAUAAAUAAAAAAAAUUUUAUAAAAUUUUUGGACCAAAAAUAAAUUUAAUGUAUUUAAUUUUGUCUAUGCAUUUUAAUCCAUUAAACCCAAUUGAAAUUGGGCCUAAAACUAGGAUUCAUUAAACCCAAAACUAUUUUUGGAUUUAAACGCAAAAAAUUAAAAAUAUUUCUGCCUAACUGAAAAAAUAUGAAACUAUAGGGACCUCCAUGAUAAAAACCAUGGAACCCUAAAAUCACAUUUUUCUUUUCCUCUUCUUCCCCAGCCGCCACCAGUAAAAAGCACCAGCUUCUGUUCCCGGUCAACCGCCGCUGUUCAGAGACGCCAGCCGGUCUCCGACACAUCUCUGACGAGGAGCCAUCGCCAAUACGCCGGAAACAAGCCAACCCUGCGAGCGCUACUUGCUGGAACGCACGCUACUUCUGCGCACGCUGCUGCUGCGCGUACAGCGCGUGCCGCUGGCCAGGCUGGCCGCACGCGUCGCUUGCUGCACGCAGCGCCCGCUGCUGGCAGCGUGUGCUGCCUGCUGCGCGCAUUGCCAGCAUGCGCUUGCAGCGUGUACCGCUCGUUGGCUGCAGCGAGUGCGCUGGUCGGUGGUCGAUGUCAAAAUUUCCGGCCUCCGUCGCUUUCAGCUCGUUUUCCAGUGAUGAUUCUUCAGUGAUUUACAAAUUUUCAACGCAAAUUUUGGCUUACAAAAUUUCAAUUACAUUAAAAUAAAUCAAGAGGGAAACAUGGUGAUAAUAAACCACCCCUCUUGUUACAGAUCCAAACAAAAAAUACAGUAGCACAUCUAACCAUGAAUUAAGACAAACCAUAAACAUGCUUUAUUCAUAUAUUAAACAAAUAAUAUAUAUCUGAAUAAAAUGUGCCAAUCUAAUACAUAAAUUUCAAGAUUAAUUUCAUACGAAAUUCUUAUAUAUUAAUAUGAGGCUGCUCUGAUACCAAUUAUUGGCGAAAAAUGAGGUUUUUAUAAUUUUUAUAAAACCUUUUGAAGAUCGCUUUCAUAUAAUAUAUAAGAAUUUGUAUUCUAGAAAUCGUACCUUGAAAAUCCGAGUUGGCUUUUUCCGCUGAAAUGAUUUAGGCUCCUAGAUCACGAUCCGCCACCACCACUCCUGUUAGAUCACGUUCCUUCACCACCACGCUUGUUAGAUCACGAACUGUCACCAAUGAUCUUCCAGGUUAUGACUCAGGUUCGAUCUGCACUUGACGUGUGGGCGCCUUUAUCACUACCAAAGCAACUAGCACGAGAAAAUUUUUCUCUCAACAAUAGAGAGAAAAAUCUUAUUCUGCGAUUUGUAUAAAGUGGCUUCUCUUCUUUCUUUUGAGAAAAUAAGCCUUUUAUAUCACCCUUUAGUGAAAACCCUAGGCUCCCAAUAAUUAAAAAAAAAAACUCACGUUAUUUGCUUUUUCUAUAGGAGACCCACCUUGUAAAAUAACAUAAGGCCCCUUACACAAAAGCUAAUUAAAUGGAGCCUCCCACUAAAUGAUAUAUUUAGGCUUUUGACCCAAAUAGCUAGUUAUCUUACUUAUUAGUCCCGUAGUGGUGCAGUCAAUUAAAUGAGCUAACCCGGGAAUCAUUUGGGAACAUACAAUAGUGGCUACAAUAAUUAGGCCUGUAAUUAAAUUAGCCCAAUUAUUUAAUUCCAAAUCUACUCCACUAAAAGAUUGGAACUGACUUCCAUAAUUGUAUGCUCGAAUAAUAAUUCGUCCCAAGCCACAUUAAUUUCUUUACUGCACAAUCCUUUGUACCACAUCGUUAAUUAAAUUGAUAUCUCAACUGUCCAAUUAAUUUAAUAACAUCUUAUUCCUUGAUCCUUACUGGUUUUCUCUAAUGAUCAUUUUCAACAUACUAAAUAUGUUGACACACUCUGGCCAGAGAAUUCUAUGAUCAAGUGCCGAAAACCCAUCAAGAGAUGUGUUGUACAAAUUCUAUAUUGUUAAUCCAUAACUCCAAUACUCAUAAUUGCUCCCACCAAGAUACCGGGUAAUCUUGACCACAAGGAUGUGUCGUGCCCAUUGGUAACUCAAAUGGAAUAAAAAUUACAAUCAUGAAAUCAUAAUUAACUCAAGAUUAAGAUUACAGUAAAAUCAACGCCUAUGAGAUUUAAUAAGUCUGACAGUUAUUACAAAGUUAAUUAAAUCUCAUAUGUGAUCAUGUUCAAUGUAGUCGUACUACAUCAAUAAAUUCAUACAUGAUUAAGACAAAUCAUUCAAUGAAUUUAUUACAGUCUAUACCUAAAUAAAGUGCCCAACUUUAUUUAUCAACUGCGAACUAAAUUUAUUUAAUCAUAAGAUAACUUGUAUUUAUGUCUUCUGUGAAUCCACAUGGUGAUCACAUAAAUACAUACAAUAUGAUUAAAUGGACUUUAAUACAAAUAUUAAUGCAAUUAAGAUAUUUGAAUAAAAUACCUCAUCUAUUUUAUUAAUCAGAAAAAUUGUUUAUUACAAUUAAAUAAACACAUAUGCUUUUAAAGAGCAUAUUUUCCCAACAACAACUGCAUCUACGGACUCGUUGAUGUCGGGCCAGUAGUAGGUCCAUGCCACUAUUACUCCAUUAGGUUUUUUGAGUACCCAUUUUACUUGUUUGUAAAAUUGAGGCAAGUCAAACCAAUGUAGUGAUGUAGCAAUUGUCACUAGAUCUACACUUGAUUGUGUUGCCACAUUUUGUUCAAGCUCAGUUAUGGACAUGGUUGGAGGAGUAAGUUGAUACCGAAUGUUGGGGAGCUUUAUUGCGAAUUCUAGCUGCUUUGGGCUUGUGUCUGUAGCAAUGACAUUCUUGUAGAUUGGUGCAAGCUGAAGACAUAUAAUUGAGAAAAAAUAUAAAAUAUAGGAGGCUAUAACAAAAGUACACAAAAUUGAGAAGGCCAUAUAUAAAAAUUACAUAGACAUGGUGAAAUUUCAACCCAUACUCAGUUUUUUUGUUUUUUUUGUUUUCAUCCUCAAGGUUGCCGGGAUACUCUAGUUCCCCCCUUGGUAGUUGGAUAAGAUUUUUCUGUACUCGUCUCACGACUAAAUUUCCAGAUAAUGUGGAUAUUGAUUUGUAGAUAAUACAUACAUAAUUAAUCAAUGAAAAUAAUAGGGAUUUAACUAGGGAUUGGCAAUGGGAGGAGAUCGACAUUUCUGUAUCUAUUUCUGAUACUCUACUUGUAUCCUUGUACUCUCCCCGUCCUUUUUAAAAUUGCUUGAGGAUAGGGAUGGGGAUCUCCAAAGACACCCGAUCCCGAACAACUGAUUUUUGAACUUGAUUUAAUCAUAUUAAAGUAAAAAAAUAAAUCAUUUAACAACAUAAACACAUCAAAACAAAGUAAAAUCAUUAAAAUCAUUUUCAUCAAACUAAUUAAGUUAAUGUCAUCAAAAUUACAAGAUAAUCUAUGAAAUUAAGUAAAAAUAGAACUUCAGGGUUGAACACAUACAUUAAAGUCACAUGGUAUAAAUCAUUAAGAAAAUUAUCUUCAUCAAUCUUCAAGUGUUCAUAUCUAUUAUGAUAUUUUUUUUAUUUAUAUCCAUACCAUCACAAUUUAAAUUUUAAAUAUAAUUACUAAAAAUUUUGACAGAAAUAAAAUAAAAUAAAAAUUAAAAAUAAAAAUUAAAAAUGGGGAAACGAGAGAGACGAGGAAUUCACUGAAUCCCCAUCUUCUCCCUAUAUAAGAUAUUGAGUGUUAAGUUAUCUCUGUUCGUUCCCCGAAUUUUAAUUAAGAUAUAAAAUUGUUCCCACACCCUACACAAAUGGGAAAAAUCCUUCAAGACUCGUCCCAUGAGAAUUUCUGCUAUCCCUGAAUUUAACAGUUAUAUAAUUCAACUUUCUUAUAGCUUGGGAUCAGAAUUCUGAAAUAUUAAUAUGGAACUUUUGUAUUAUUCAAAAAUAAAAUCUAAAGAUGUGAAAAGUAAACUUACGGAUGCAGCGGCCUGCCCGCUUCCGGUGCCGACGUCCCAUGCAAGCUCGUUUUUGGGUGUUUUAGAGGCAAUGAAUUUGAACAAUUCUU